AACUCACUUGAAAGUUUGAAGAUAGCGAGAUGGAAAACCGGGCAGAGUUUCGUCUCGGGAAACGGAUUUUUCUCGGGAUUCUCGGGAAUCUCGGGAGUAAAAUCGACCCUCGGGACUUGAGCAAAAAGACCAGAGCUUCGGGUUUGAAUGGGCACGGAAAACGAGGCAAGAUCGUGAGAGAAAGGAGAGAAAUGAGCAAGUUUUUCGGAAGCCUUCGCAUGUUAUUUAUAGGGGGGUCUGAGAAGCCUCGUACACGGGGCCUACGCUCGUACGCAACGCGUACGCGUACGUCAUGCAUGACCGAAGCCUCGACUGCCUCGGCUUCGGAUGGGACGGAUCNGGGUCGGUAGCCUCGCAUAGGGCAACGUGUACGAUCCGAGGCCAAGGCCCUCGGGUACGCAAGGCGUACAGGGGUAUGCGACGCGUACCUCUGAUGAGGACGCUGACUCCUCUUCGGAUAAUACUUGAUUUUUGAAUUAAAUAAAUAUAUAAUUUAUUUAAUAAACUUCAAAAAUUCAUAUCUUCUUCAUACGAACUCCAUUUUCGAUGGUCUUUAUAUCCACGUGUAGGUGAGACUACGCUCUACAACUUUCGUUUAGACUCCGUUGGCAAAUUCCGAAAUUAUUUUUAUUGUUUAUUUUAUAACUCAUCGUGUUUAAGGAAUUUCUUCAGAAAUUCAUAACUUCUUUAUCUGAAGUCGGUUUUUGCCAGACUUUUUACCGCUGAAAUAUCAUUGUCGAGACCUUCGAUUCUCGUUUAGGUCACUCCGGCCAAAAGUCGUUCGACCUCCAAUUCGAGUUUUUAGUUGUCUGAUGCUAAGCCGAACUUGGAAAAAUCAUAACUUCAAUAUACGAAGUCGGAUUUGGGCGUUCUUUUUUUUUUUUACGAUCAUGGUUUAAUGACAUUUAAACAUAGAAGGAGUUUAAAUAGAAACCUUUUGGACAUUUAUCAUUAGAGUUAAUUUUAUUAACUCAAAAGUGGUUACAAUACUUGACUUUUUAGGUCAUUACAAGGAAUUGAAAUAUCGGGUUGUCACAAAAAUAGAUUCCUUCACCACAACCAAAGGAAAAAAGAUUGGAAGGUAGCCAAACUUGCUGAAAAAGUAUGGAGACAAUGCGGUUUUGAUACCUUCAUGGAUGAGUCCUUGAUAAAUUCUUGGAUUAAUCCUCACCACAGACUGCUUGAUGAUGACUACACUCCUCACCUCACCUAUGCGGAACCCCUUUCAGAUGGCUACUGGGAUGUCCCAAUUUCUCCAAACGCCAGAUACUUCACUGUAUUUGAGCAGUUCGACUGCAGCCUUCCAGACACCAAAAGACUGCCAAUGGAAUUUGAGAGGCUUACUCUGUUUUAUGCUAAGCAUGCCUCUCCUAUUGAGAAUAUUUGGUCUAACGAUAGACCAUCCACAGUUAAUAACUAUAAAUAAGGAAGUUCAUGAAGGCUGACUUCAUCCAAUACACUCUGACCAGAAGGGAACACGAUUAUGUCCGCAUACAGGCUGACUUUCCUUGUAUGAAUCCAGAAGAAGUCUUUCUCAUUGCAAAGAUGUUACAACCCAAGUCUGAGAAGCACCCGAAGAUGAAGAUUGCACUUGAAAGGGCUAAUACUUUCUUAAAGGAAACAGUCUAUGACUUUGCCAAAAUCGACACAGACAUCUACCCCAUCAUUGCCAAGAAAUUCGAUUUGCCACCACUUGACCCUGCACCAAUUCCUACCGAAGGCUAUGAAGAAAGAUCCUUAGGUGCAACCAACUAUCCUGAACUUAGAGUCAUUUUCAAAAAGAAGACCGAUAAUGUCAAAUACUUCAUUCCUAUGACUGCCAUGCAUCGCCUCACCAGGAAGCAACUUGACAUCUGCCGAAACGCAGUUGAAAAAUCAAAGCACACUACUGCAGAAGUCAAGUUCGAGAUCUUAAGAAGAAUCAUCUUGUUAGAGAACAUCAGGAAGUUUUGGUGGAUCCUGAUCAAGUUUCUUAAAUACGAUAGUUGAUUAAAAGGUAAAGAGGUCACUUCGGGGAAAUUGUUGAAACAUAAAAAGUGACCCUUUUAAACUCCUGCUACCGCAACCAUCAAGCCCCCGCCGUCAAGUCUCUUCAUCAGCAAUUGCCACCACAGUCUCUACCUACCGCAAUCUCUUUACUAGAUUAUUUGUCUUUUUGUAAUACACUCUAUUGUCCAUUAUGCCUUGCAUGGCUACUCUUAGAGAUGUAAUCUAGUGUACUUCAUGAGUCUCUAUAAAUAGAGCUCAUUCUCUUGUAUUAAAUUUUACGCAUAUAAUUAUGAAUGGCAAUCUCUAAAGUUAUCUUUUCUAUCUUUCAUACCCACUCUUCUUACUCUAAUAAUCGAUUACAACCUCUAUUCGGAGCAAGUCUUUUGAGACUUAAUCACAAAGUUUGAUCUCACUUAUUAACUUGGUUUGAAUGCAUUCCUCGUUAUGAAUCAACUUAAGUGUAUACUUGAUAUAAUAAAUGUUGUCACUUACAUUUCUUUACUUUUCCGCAACUAACUAUCUAACCAUCUAACUCUAAAUAUUAUUGUUGAGCUUUUAGAUACUUCCAGAUUAACUAUUCCGCAAUAUAUUUGUUCUAACGUUUGUUUAAGUGUGUCUCAAAGUUUUUCUCUCAACAUCAAUUAUUUAACAUACUUACAAUUAAAUUAAUCUAAAAUUCAAAAAAAAUGGGUUUUUAUCUAAUUUUGCAAGUUUAGAUGAACUUAAUUUAUCAACAACUAUUCAAUGAAGUUAUAAAAACACUUUUGUUAGUUUGAAUCCACUUUCCCUCAAUGGUUUAAAUAUUAAUUAUGACAACUCCCAUUGGUUACCAAUUAAACUGUUAUUAGCAAUUCAAUUCCAAAUUUUCUAAUAUUCAAUUAAUCCAUGUAGAGCUACACAUGGUCACACAAAAUUUAACACAAAAUUUAACACAAAAUGAAUUAUUAAAUAGGAUUGGAGCUAUGUGAGAUUGAGUUGACAAACACAAUUGUGGUCACAAUAUGAGUUCUGCAACAUAGCCAAAUUCAAUACUUCAAUUACUUAUCUAAGAUUGGUUCGAUCUUAGCUAUAAUAAUCUAAUGUUCACUAAAUUACUAGGUAGUUAAAUUCAUGUAGAUUAACGGUCACUAAAAUACACAAAAUAUGAAUUAAAGGAAUCUAGUAUCAAAUUGAGCAUACUAGGUAUAAACAAUCAAAAACAAGACAUUAACCAACUAGAAAAGUCUAAAUUAUUAUAAACCAACCAUGAGUUACAGCUUGAUCUAGCUAAUAGAGGUAGUUGGAUUUAGCUACUCAUCAAAGCAAUCACACUAACAAACUUCAUAGUUAAAGACAUAGUAAUAUACCAAACGAAGAAUAAACUAUGACCCAUUCUUCUUCCUUGGUUGAAUUCUAGGUUUUCUGGUUUGUAAUCCUCUAAAAACGACUUCUAGAACUUUAUUCUUCCCAAUAACCGACCCUUAAACUAGAAAGUGUUAAAGAUAUAUAUACUUGUCAUAAAAUUACAUUCCACGUCAUGGAAUAAAGGUCCACAUCGUGGACUUAGACGAAUCCUUAUCGAGCAAGGAUUUCGACUUUGCGCGUACUCGUCUUCCAUAAUUUUCCAUUCCACUUCGUGUAAGUGAUAUCCACGACGUGGAUACAACCGUUUUCAUGGGUUUUCUUCUCUUUAGUCUUACAAGCCUCCAAAUUUCUUCUUUUGCCACUUUUAGUCCUUAUUCUUCAAAAUGACUUAUUUUGGCUGCAAAAUACAAUUUAAUCUUAUAAGUACCAUUAUUCCAAGCAAAUAACCAAAAUAUGUAUAUAAAUGUAUUCAAAUAAUGCCAAAAAGUAUGUAUAAAUAUGGCAAUAUAGAAAUACCCCACACUUAUGCUUUGUUUGCCCUUAAGCAAAAGUAAUUAUUUUUAAUUCAAACCAUCAUCACUAGCAUCACAUAGAACAAUCCAUUUCGAUCCCAACCAUUAUACCAAGACCUCAAUGUGCAUAUUUGUGUCUAAAUCUCCUAAUAACUUCCCAAUCCUAAAUACUCACAUUGCUUAUGAAACUUCACCCCUUAGCUUAUAUGAUACUCAUUUCUGCAACCCUCCAAAUCAAUCCUUAGAACUCUUUCUUAAACUCAAGGUGUUUUUGGUUAAGCUACCCAAGCAUACAUGAUCUAGAAAUUAUAACUUUAGAUACCACAAUGGAUAUCUUGGAAUUCUUCACUUUCUUCGAGUAUUUGAUCUUUGAUAUCUUUGAAUUCACCACCUUUUUGUUUUAUUUUUGGUAUCUUCAAUUUUUGAUUCUUUGUAAUUUGAUCUUUUGAUCUUCACACUUGAUAGCUCCAAAAUUCUUCAACUUUUCGGUAAUUUCUCUCUCUCUCUCUCUCUCUCUCUCUCUCUCUCUAUCUCUCUCCUAUCUCUCUUUCUUUUUUUUUAAUUUCUCAUUUUCUUUUCACUCAAAUCCUACAUGCUUAAGCAAGGGAGCUUAACUUCAACCUUUAUCGGCUAAUGGUAUUAGUCUAUGUGCAAUGACUACAUAAACUCUCCUGGAUAGAUUUCAGUUUUAGGCUGCAGAACAUAUUAUGCCAUAUAAACUACCAGAUUACAUUUUCAUAUCUCAUGGCUUUUCACUAAGACUUGGGAAGCCACAAAUAUACUAUAACAUAUAUUGGCUUAAUUAAACAUUUGAGCUCUCACUGGUUCAUCCCACAUAACACUAGCAACUUAAGUGUAAAUUAAUUAUUACUAGAUUCAUUUUUUAUUUAGAUAAUUAUUUCAAAUCCAUUUUUAAAUUUUUCAAAAUUUUGGAAUUUUUUUAAAAUUAUCAAGUAAUUUACUUUUUCGACCCCUACCCCACACUUAAUACAUACUUUGCCCUCAUUGUAUGCAUAAAAUAAAUUGAAAGCAAGAAAAGGGAGAAAAAGGAACAGACUCCCCUGGAGUAGAAGUGACAAGAUUCAUCUCUUCAUGUGUGAGUAACUUGAGCAUCUUGAACUUGUACUUCUUCAAAUAUAGAACUUGGAAUUUCAAGAAAUGAGACACGUAGAUGUGUCGACAAAAUUUGAAAUCGAGACUUCAAUCUUCAACAAAUGUGGUGUAGAAAAGCUUCAAAAUAUAAUAGACCAACGUGGGAAAGCAUAUGACACAUGGAAUUGUGUAGAAAAGAAGAAAAAAUGGAACUUCUGAAUUCCACGUCGUGGUGUAGAAUUGCACGACGUGGCAUCAAAUAAUUACAUUUUCUGAAAUUGUAUUUUGAACUCAAUCCAUGACGUGUAAUUGGUCUCCAUGUCAUGGAAACUGGGCAUCGUAUAAAACUUUUCUUCUUUAAAUAAAUAUAAUGUGGACUUGUGUCUUAAUAUAUUAAGACCCUUCUGAACUGCAUAUAUCGUGACUCCUUCCCAAACCGGUUCUCUCUCGAUUAACCCGACACUUAUUUAAGAUUGUGGUUCUCAACUCUCUACUCUAAAUGACAUGGCUAAUCGUGUUUAUGCUGUCAUAUCUCUAAGGCCCCUCAGUCGCGUUUUUAUCUAACUAACUCUGAAAAUAACAGCUAAAAGAAGUAAACAAGAAACAUAACAAAUUAAAUAGUCAUUACAAAACAAAAUUAAACUAAAAUAAAAACAAAAAAACCAACAAUAAACUAAACAAAAAUAAAAGAAAUAAAAGGAUAAAUUAAUCAUCUUCUUCAUCAUGAUGUGCUCCACUAGUUCCAACACCAUCUCCUUUUCGCGUCCAUAAUUCUUCCCACGUUGGAAUGUACGGGAAAUGGGGAGGCAUUGUACGGGUUUGAACCAUAUUCAUAUGUGUAAACAUGGUUUUGAAAAUUUGAAUGUUGUAAGUCACUACACUAUAAAGAUUGUCCAAAUACAAACCAACCCGACUUUGAAACGGGUGAGUCGGUAUAUCACCCUCAAAUGGUUGGGGUGGUGGUUGUGAUUGUCCCCCUCUCUCCUCGACCUCUCACAUUCCUUCACCUUGGCUGAGGUUAUUCUACUUAUUGCCCAAUUUUUUGUUCUUCUUGUAGGGUUUUGAGCAUUCUAACACUCCUAAGGUGUUUAUGCCACCCUAAAUACUUUGGAUCUAUGUUUUCACUAAUCAUACAUGCAAUGCUGUUUCCAAGGUAUUAAGCCUAUGGCUAGCAUACAAUUUUCAUAUACCACAAAAGAAUCUAGUUAGGAUAACAGACGUUAUGGUGGAGAUUGAAGUCUUGAUGUAUCUAUCCUUAAAAGCUUAGCCCUAAUAGUGUGGAAGCCUCAAGUGGAAUCACAACACAUGAUAUACAAAGGAGGAACUUGAGAGAGAAACCCCAUGUACCCAAAACCACCAUGAACUCCAAGAAUACAGUAGUCACGAUUUUGGGCAAUGAAGUGUGUAUUUAUAUGUGGGAUUUCUAGGGUCAUGGAUAUAACCCAAAUCCGUACCCAUGGGUCUUGUGGCUCAACUCUUUAUGUACCUAUACAUAAACUUGGUCCAACAUGGAUCAUAAGCCCAACACACAUGAAUAUAAAUAAUUAACAUAAUUAGUCCCCAUAGAUUUAAUUACUCUCCUUUUGAUCACUAAAUCAAUUCUAAAUUAAUUCUUGAUCAAUACUUAUUAAAACCAUAUGAUUUCAUAUUAAUAUAUUAGUACUUAUAAUAUAUUAAUAAAUCAUAUAUAACCUUCUCUCAAGUGUCCAUCCUAACAAAUUCUCCUAAUGAUAUGUAACCCAAAUGGACCAUGCUACUCUCAGGUAAAGUACAUACAAAUAAUAGUUAUGGGCUUAGACAUCUAAUCCAACAGUCUCCCACUUGGAAAAGUCUAAUACUAUUAUUGCAAGUACCACUUCAUAACCCGACUAGCAAUCAUAGCUCUUAAAGCCAUUGUCGAACUCUGAACAAAUCAAUGAUGCAUCCAUUAGAUAAGUGAUCAUAUAUUCCUCAAUUCUAGACAUCGUAUGGACUGAGACAUGGAUUAUAAUCAUUCUCUCUCUCCGUUUGUUGUUUCCCGAUUUUCGAUUUAUGACAACUGACUAAUUGAACAAAUCAAAUCAGUCCAGGCUUGGCCAAGCAAUUAGGGGUGUCAUCACUAAUCAUCGAGGGGCCCACAUAUAUUGCUUUUAUCCUUAUGAGGUAAAAGGAAUGGAUAAAAUUCGACACAUAUGUUUGUACUAACUACUUGUUGAAUCAUACACAAACGCAUGUUUUAUAAGAUAUUAUGGUCGCAUGAUUCACUCGUGAUAAAAUCUAUGAAGUGAUUCAAAUAAGCAUGGGUCUAAUCCAAUACUCAAAUCUUAUUCCAGGAGAACUUAUGAACAUUGCAGCUAAGUCUAGCCACCUGAACAAACUACAUACCCAUUCAUGACAGUCUUGCCUCAAUACCUACUUCCAAAAUAUGAUUAACUGUGGACAGUUUGAAUAACCUAGUUAUUCGGGAAGUCAAAACAUGCAAACUGAAACACAAGAAUAAUACUAAUCCUAUAUGGCCCCAACACUUUGAGUGUAAAUAAAAUACCAUUUUAUCUAAGCACCAUAUUGGUUACUCAUUAUUCAUUUUAUAAUGUUUCAAUUUAUCAACUUAAUACCUGAAGUAAAACAAUAGUCAUGCCAUGCUCCAAGCAUGCACACUAUGUUUACCUAUGGUCCUUUCUUUUGUGAAAUAGAUCAAUUGAGCACGACUCCAAUGAUGCUCAUUUCACAAUCAUAAUCCCUUUUGUAAAUGUGAGAAUACCAAACUCUUGACAUUUACUAUAAUCUGUUAGAUUCUAAACAUAUAUGCAAUGAUUCUCUUGUAAUGACUAUAUACAAAAGUCACAAAGACUUGACAACAGACAUUACAAAGUAUUCCAAUGGAGAUCAAUUCCAUGGAAACGAAAUCUCAUAUUCAAAGUACAUUCUUUUGAACAUCCUUCAUUGCAUUAAGUUUUCGAAUCUUACAUAGAUUCAAAGAUUAACUUCCACCUAUGAAAACAAUUCCAUAUUACCAUUUUGACUAUCAAUUCUGAACAAGAAUUGCCUCUUUUCAGAAUAUGUAAAUAUGGUCCUUUCCAAAGUUUACACUAUACUUCUAAUUGUCCAUGAGCAACCAAUCUUUGGUAAACCUCAUAUUAUCCUUAGAAAUUGCUUAAUCAUUUUAUUCAUAUCCAGUUCUAUUCCUUAUUCCUCUUAAUGCCCUAAGCAUUUGGAAAAUUUAGAAUGGAUGAAUAUUAUAGCACAUGUGAUCGAUCGUAUACCUAAAGCAUAUGGGACACGAUUCAAGAUGUCUCACAUAAAGACGUUGUACUAGACCAGUCUUUUGCUAAAAUAUUUUUAUUUUCCAUGUUCUCACAAUUCGAACUAUGAAGGGGGAUGUCGUAAUCAUAAUAGAAUUUUGAGAACGCAACAUAUAUAGAAUAUCCUUAUGUUGAACCAAUCUAACAUAACAUUCACACACACAUAUAUAUAUAUANAUUUCCUCAUGUUGAACCAUUUCAACACAACAUAUAUAUAUAUUUGUCUAAAUUUGAUUAAAAUUUCUAUCUAAGCUUGUAGAAUUGGAAUGAACUAUAAAAUCACCUCCUUUAAUUAUAGCAAAACAACUUUUCAAAGUGAAUUGAAACUUUUGUUUUCUAUAAUUAACAUUGCUAACUCGCAACAUGUAACAUAAUAAUCAUGCUCCUACUAACAUGAUAAUUAUAAUUUAACUAGCAUAGCACUUUAUGCUCCUAAUAGCUUUGACAUGUACCCAAAAAUUAGUUGGACUUGUAGAAAUCAAUACUUUAUUGACUUUCUUAAAAAAGUUCAGUUUUCUGUUAUGAGAUGCUUUGAUCAGACUUUAUCAAAAUCAUACACCUUUCCUUAGAUAGCUCACAUGUGUGUAUAAACAAUUAUGAAGAGAGGGGUCAUAAUCAUAAUGUUUAGACCUUUUUCCAUUAUCACAAGUCCAUGUAAGUGUGCCGGUUAACUACACGCGCUCCACUAAAUGACUUUGAGAAUGCAAAUAUCACAAUUGCUAUAUACCUAAAAUCUACUUAGUGAAAGAGUUUCCUCUCCAUCAUUUUCAUGAAUCGGACAGAAAUCAUAUGACACUUAUAUUUUAUGGUGUAUGUGAUGCUAUCCAUGUGAAUUUGUCAUAACCAUAAUCACAAGACAAGGUUAGUGACAAAUCCAUACUCAUAUGGACUGAACUUGCCCAAUCUCAUUUUCCUGCCACCCGGCAGCACAAGUUCCUACCAUUGUUUCCAGGUUAUUAUGCAAACAAUUGACAACUUAUAAAACUCACAAUCAUAGUCAACUUAAACUGGAAUGGGCACAUAAACAAAAAUAUGUCACGAAAGUGGGUUACAAACCUCAAUUUGUGUGCUAGCGAUUAAACAAUAGGUUUUUAUUCUUGAUUAGUUCUUGAAACUUUUCCAGGAUCUUUAAGACUCCCACUAUCCUCUUGACGUAUGACAUUCUCUUGUUAAGAACCAUUCCUUGACAAAACAAAUAUUCAAGAGUUAGUGUGGAUUCUUAUCAAGAUAAACACUUCUCACGGUUGGUCUUAAUUGGUCUAUGUUUUGUCCAAAACAUCACAACUUACCAAUUUCAAAUGUACAAGAGUAAGAAACAUGUUACUCUACAUUUGAUAUGCGUUAUAAAUCUUUUUUUUUAAAUUAUGUCAGUCAAGUUACAAUCCUAACCUAUGACUCUAAGCCUUGAUUUUUGAACCAAGAAUGACUUAUCUUUUGAUUUAACCAUUUCAACAAUUCAUGAUUCCUCUCCCUAGCCAAAAAAUGCACUAAGGUGUCUUUAGUGGAUCAGUUGUUACAAGGUUUUUAUAAUCGCUAAGAAAAUCAUAAAAAAAAAGAUACUCAAGUACUAGCCUAUCUCUUCUUAUUCAUUCUGCCAAUCAUUGAAACAUUUCCAAUGUUUCAAAAUUACACUUAAACUUGUAAGCAUAACCAUAUUUACUAAACUUUUGUAAAUCAUAAUGAAUAACCUUAUUAGCCUUUUUGGUGGACCUGCCUAGCGCACAAGCUAAUGUACCCGAUCCUUUAGUCCUUCACUUGAGUCAGAUGUACAUAUGAACAAGGAAUUAGUCUUAAUUUACAAAAGAUGAAAAUUAUCAUUCAUCAUACAAUACAAGUUGCAUGAUUCCAAGUUUCUAUCCAACUGAAACCUAGGUGAUGUGAAUCUUUCCUUAUUUGGUAAAUUAUGACACUACCACAAAUGAAAGAAUCAAAUCCAUUUUCCAAUAUUGCUAUUACUGAAAUCAUAUAAACGACAUUUUUUCACAAAAGCCAUUAUAAGGAUACUUAAAAUAUAUAAAAUCAAAACUUUUCUUUUAUUUUAAAACUUCCAGAAAAACAUGUUGUUAUCUAUUCCUAAGCAAUCUAUCAUAACUCUUUAAGCAGCAGCUCAAAAUUUUGAUCACCGAACCAUGCGAUUGAAAUCCAUGUUUUCACGAUCAGAAACAACAUACUCUUCUUUUAAGCUUCCUUUGAUUCUCCAAAACAUCAAAAUGCAAUUAAAUCACAUCAUGUAUUAGGAAUCUCCAAAUAAGAACUUAAUAGAGUUAGAUAGUGGACUUUACCUGAAGUAGAGUAAACCCUUUUUGACUUUACCAUCCUUAUGAUCUUUUAGGUAAACUGGGCAGCUUCUGUGACAACCUGAAAUUUCCAUUCUGUACAACAUAACAAGUCAAUAGAAUGUCAAAGUCAUUCCUGCUAUCAUUCAGCACAAUUUAGAGUUCGUUUGAGAGUUUUGAGCCUUGUACACUUAAGGAAGAAGUGUCGGGGUUUAUCUGCUGAAUUUAUAGCACAAAGACCGCGCCUUAAGCACAUUAACCAUGAGUUCACGGCCACCACAUGGGAUUUUAUGGCCGUAAAAUCCAUGUGGGCCGUAAACUCACCUUACAUGGUGUACAUGAAGGCGAUUUGUCCAUUUCUUUCAUUUCCUUGGCCCAAAUCCUCUCAAGUACCAUCCCGAUCUUCAUCCCCGAUCUUCAAAACCCGUAAGUUUCUUGCCCUAACUAGUUGAUAUAUUAGAUGAUCUAGUAAUCUUACAUGAUUUCAUCCGUGAAAUCAUUCCAUUUUGUAGAUUUUCAAGAUCCACCAAGAACACACACUAGUGUUCUUGGACAGAAACCACCAUUCAAGCUCUUAGAUUGUAAGUACCCUUGAUCCAACUCAUUGUAUACUAGUUAUAUCAUGUUUAGAUCUUAGAAAACAUAAGAAAUCAAGGGAUUCAAGGAGUUUACAGCCAACACAUGUUCUUGGGCCGUAAACCCCUUUUAAGGGUGCAAAUGAUACACUAACAUUUUAGUGAGCCUUGGAUUUUAGCAUAGAACCUUACCCCUUUGAGUUAAGGACUUCAUUUCAAGAAAUGGUACUCCUUACCAUGAGUUUACGGCCGUAAACUCAUGGGGGAGUGGUCCCAGAGCUGUGAACACCAAUCAAGGCCAUUUUAGGACCUUAAACCCACCCAAACAAUUGUUUAAAGCUUUGGAGCACUUAACCAAUUAAGCCCUUAGGGUUUUAAGCCCCUUUUGGUGAUCAAUUGAGAGUUUACGGCCAGGAGUAUACUCCCCUGGGCCGUAAACUCCAACAAGCAUGGUCAUUGAACCAUAAGCUCCCGUUUGAGGCAUUGCACUCCUUUGUUGCAAACCAAUAGCCUCCUAACACUUGACCAAAGUGUUUUCCUCGCAAUAGGAUGUUUAUAAAUAUUUAAUUAGUGUUAAAACCACUAAUUGUUUAUAUACGUAUGUCUUCAUAUGUAAUUAGGAUCAUUGUGUGUGUCUAAGUCUUCACUUGACACCGAGCACUUGUCUGACACUUCCUUCCGAUCCGCUCACUACAGGUGGGUUCAUACCCCUAAAUCAAUCUUUUAAAUGUUUUUAAAUGCUUUAAUGGGGGGGAUACAGGUUGAAUCAUGCUAGUUAUUAUAUCAAAUAUGUGAAUAAUAACCAGCAUACUAAAAGAUUUACAACACUAUAAGUUGUUUUACCAAACAGAUUUCCGUAAAUGGCUUUCCAAUAUGUUUUACAAACUAACAUCAAGUCAUCUUUCUAAGUUGUUAAACUUUACAAAGGUUUUUACAAAACUGUGUUAUACUUUGUUACCAAAGGAUAUACUUUUGAAAUGUUUAUUAAAAUGACAUCAAGUCAUUGUUAGUUAUUGUUCAAAACUCUUAAAUGUCUUACAAAAUCAUUUUUCAUCCUCUUGAUCAAAACUAUUUCUAUACACUUAUGUUCUUAUAUAUAUGUAUUGAUAUGAUAGAUUUCAUCCUUCAUUCAGUUCCCACACUCUUGUGUAGCAAGGGUGUAUAAUCCUUCUUGGACAUCAAUUACCUUUCAGGUAAACUAUUAUAGGGAUAGUUAGGAGGUACAAAACAUUAUUCCUAUUACAAGGAAUUACACCAGAGUCAGUUGAUUCAUAAGUCUAUACAAUAUAUUACAUGUUACAUGAAUACGUCUACAUAGAGUUGCUUACAUGAAUACAUUUACAUAAAUACAUUUACUUGUAUACACUUACAUGGAUACUUGUACCUAGAUUCUAUAUGAUGAGUUACUAGUACAUAUUAUACGUGUAAAUUAGUUCUGCCUAUCCUAGUUCAAUAGGAUAACUAGACGGGACUAACCAUUCCGGAACCCACCUCAUACCAACAGAGGUAAUGAAUAUCUACGGAUGCCUACAGUUAAUACUUAUAUUAGGACUACCUUUAAGGGGCUAACCAUUCCUUAAACCUGCUGCCAGCUACAGAGGAAUAUGAACAAUCUAUGGAUGUUCAAGGUUAAUACCUUUUAUUUUGUGAUACAUUAACAUAAACAAAGUAGAAUUUAUUUUGUUAAUAGUAGUUAUAGAGGGGAAAACCAUCUUUGUUAUAGCAAAACAUUCGAGUCUUGGUAGAAGACUACUUUCAAAACAUUCGAUUCUUAGUAGAAGACUACUUUCAAAACAUACAAGUCAUGGUAGAAGACUACUUUCAAAACAUAUUAGUCUUGGUAGAAGACUACUUUCAAAACAUUCAAGUCUUGGUAGAAGACUACUUUCAAAAACAUACAAGUCUUGGUAGAAGACUACUUUCAAAACAUUCGUGUCUUAGUAGAAGGCUACUCUUUAAGCUAACAGAAACCAUAGGGAUUUGCUAGGGUAUUCAAACGCUUUCAACUGUUUUCAAACAAUUCAUACUUAUACAAUCUUUUUCCAAAGGUUUACAAGUCAUUACUUUACAGUUUUACAAAUCAAACACAUUAAUACUUAUGAAUUCACCAGCUUUUUGGCUGAUACUCGCUUUCAAAAUAACUUGUAUUCUCAUGUCACAAAUAGACAGGUACGAUGACCAGGUUUUGUGAAGACGGAGUAGUCCAGACGCAUCUUAUAUUUUGAUAGAUCAUUAUGUUGUCUUAUACUAUGAAAGAACACACUUGUAAAUAAAAUUAUACUAUUAAUGCAAUGGAUGUUGUUGUUGCUUGUUUACUACUUUGCAUUGUUAUGAUACAUUACAUGACGUCCUCCGCCCCAGAACGUUUCCGCCAUUCUCGGUUUUGGGGUGUGACAGAUUGGUAUAAGAGCAUUCUUUAUAGUGAAUAUAGUAUAUCAACCCAUAAAAGAUAUACUAACUAUAAAUACAUUGAGAUUAAAAUACUCUGACAAGAGUUUAUACUUUAAAUAAUAAAAUAUUUAAUUAAGUAUACGUGGCUGCAUUCAUACUAAAAUCAGUGUCUCUAGGACAGUACAAAAGAAUUACGAUUGUUGGGCAACACAAGUGGACUUAAAGUCAUAUAGUCAAAACUGGGAAGAUAUAGGCUGAUCAAUUAUAUUAUCCGAGGGUUGGCUAGCAUGUGCCUAUGUGUAGUUGUGUGGUUGCAACAAGUCUAAAAUCUUACCAAUAAUACCACAAUGAGAACAAUAGAACAUAAACCUAAAAUACUAUAGGGGUAUUUGCUAAGUGGAUACACUAAGGCUAUAUGUAACUAGGAUGUUAUAGACUUAGAAUCAGUGAAAAUUUUGCUUUACCCCUAUUCUUUGUGAAUUUGGAGUUAAGGUCACUUAUUCGAAGGCCUAUCCUGUUGUGAUUACAUAUAACUAAUAACAUGGCUGGACUCCAUCCCCACGACAACCCGUACCUUCCGAACAAAUUCAUUGUUGGAUGGUUUGGAGAAGAACCAGAGAAUGAUCAUCCGAUUCCUUUGAAUGAUCACCAUGAUGAAGACCUCGCAUAUGAUGGUAACUCCGAACCCGAGGUUGAGAACCUACCACAGGAAGCUCCCUUUACAAAUCCUAACCCUCGUCCGGCUUUUCAAGGCUCGGCGUCUCCUUGGGUAAAACGCUUGGAAACAUGGAGCCAAGGACAGGAUCAGCCCAUGCCAUUUAAUGGAGACCGAAGCUUUUAUUACCUGAGCAUUGGGGGCUCAACAGACAGAAUCUUGCCAAUCCUGGUCCACAGAGUGGCCCGAAAUGAGAUUCAAGGCAGGACAACCCUACAUCAAAUCACAGAAGUUGUCGCAUAUGCGAGAAUGUGUACCCUUCGCACCAUUCGUCCGGAAAAUGCUUGUGAGAGAUCUGAAAGAGACCAUGAAACCCUGCUUCAAGAACUGGAUGAAUCACGAGCCAAAGUCAUAGAACUCCGAGUACGCCAGAGGGUGUACGAACGACGCCUGCUUUAUAUGGAACGUCAACUGGCUGAGCUGAGAGUUCACCAAAGGGAUGAUCGUCACCAGUAGGAGAUACUUUACUUUCCUUCUUGUUUUAAAAGAACCGUGUUCCUGUCUAUGUCCUAUGUGGCAUUUUCUAUGAAACUGCCUCGUACUGUAGGUACUUUUAGUUAGGCCUUUAUGCAGCCAGAACUUUUGCUACUCCGGAUAUGAUGUAAGACCUUCUUCAAGGUCAAAUGUUUCCUAAACUUAUUACAUCUUAAACAUCGAUGAUGUUGACAGUCGGUUAACUUCGGUGUCAUGCUUUUGUUCAAAUACUCUCAUCAUACUUUCAUUGGAGUCUAUUUGAAACAUGCUUUAGUGAAGUCAUUGGAUUAUAGUAAUUUAACUUCGGAGACAUUUCCAAGUCUCUUUCAGUGGUUGGAUCAUGUUAUUCACCAACCAACGAUACCUCGUCUUGAACAACAAACGUCAUGAGACCAUUAUACGAGCUUACUUCCACUCUUUGCUAGAACUGCAUCAUAGGGAUGUAGGUCAAACCUUCGUGAACAUACUUCCAUUCCAUACUAGGACUGCAUCAUAGGGAUGUAGGUCAAACCUUAGAGAACAUACUUCUAUUCUUUACAUGAGCGAUUGAACUACGUCUAGGUUCAACCAUACUUGCUCACAAAUUCAUUUUCUUUUCGUGAAACAGAAUCAUGUCGCCAAAGAAAAACGAUCAACCCAUCAACCAAAUGCCAACUCUUCAGAUUGAUGCAGCUACCUUCCAAGCUGCAGUCUCAGCUGCCGUGUCAGCUAUUCUUACCCACCUUAACGCUAACAACGCGAAUGUUAGCGGGAUUGUUAACAACAAUUCCAAUCCAGGUAACAAUCAAGUACCUCAACGAGCAACAAACUACCACGACACCCCGAGUCCCAAGACCAAGAGUAACAAACAUAAGUGUUGGGCUAAUUUAAGGACGAAUCGCUUCGAAGGGCGAACAAGAAACAACCACCGGUAACGACCUUCACAGCCACGACAUUUGUACCUCCUACUACCAUCCCUUUGGGUAUCCCAAUUGUCCCUAACCCAGCCAGACAAUAUGCUGGAAAUCUCCCAAAGUGCAUCAAAUGCAACUAUCACCACCUCGGACCUUGUCGGGGGUUGCAAUGCUCAAACUGCAACAGAAAGGGACACACCCUACGUUACUUCAAGAGCGCAGCAAGGCCGAACAACCAAGUGCCCAACACCGGUGCGAACCAGGCUUGAUACGGUUGUGGCAAGGUAGGUUGCUACAAAAGAAACCGCCCAGAGGCAACGAAUGCUGGCACAGACGGAAGGAUGCUACCGAUCACCGUCGCAGGGAAGACUACUUUGGACCUACGAUUAAAGUAAUUAAUGUGUUUCGUUGUAACAGACUUAUAAACUAUUUAAAACUAGUGCAAUUGGAGUGUUAUCUUUUGUGAAGCCCCAUCAGUUAAGGGAUCCUCGAGCUGUGUGUACUUGUCUUUUGUAGUAUACCUUGUUCGCAGCAAUAGUCUCAUGGUAAAUCUAAAGUGCAGUAAGUCUGUUAAAGGUUGCACUUCUGUGUUUUGUCUAUAACGCCUUAUGUUCAAAUCUAAUGUCUUUAGUUUCCGUAUGAUUCCGACUUUAUCAUACGACUUGAGUCAAUUCGAUCCUCGUAAUAUCAGUCUCAUGCGCACAUCUCUUUCUCCGAAAUCGUCUUUCUAGCGAAGCUGUCAGUCCGGAACACCAAAGUACUCAUUCAUGGAGUACCUCAUGUUUCUAAUCCAUUCCGAAGUUAAUCUCAGCACACCUUCCCGAGGUACCACUCAUACAGUACAUCAAGUUCAAUCCAAAGAUUCAUAUGGUUGAUCUAUCACUGAAGAAUGUAUACUUAGGGGUGGUAUAUAAUCAAGGUUCUACAGGUUUAGAAUUGAUGAUUCCACUUUAACUUCUUUUCCUCGUUGGGAUGUGAUCUUAAACAAGAAUCAGUUAUUCGACUACCUUUUCAAUCUUAGUUAUAUACGACUCGUAUAGACAAGACUGCGAUUGAUGAACCAUGUAUGACUUCUAAUAUGAACUUCAGGACGGAGAACUGCCCAAGACUACGAGUGAACGCAUCGUUAUGCGAACAAACUUAGGACCCAAUAUGACUCCUGUAAACCGAUCGCCCUACGGUCUCACACCAACGGAGAUAAAAGAACUGUUCGAACAGCUUAACGACUACUCAAGAAUCGAAUGAUAAGACCAAGCUCCUCACCCUUGAGAGCUCCAGUCUUAUUCUUUAAGAAGACAGACUUCAACGGUUGCGAUCAUUCCAGCACUAAUGCACCGGAUCCCAUCAGAACUUCGCAGUUAAGCGUGCUUGGGUGAAGGUAAUACUAGGAUGGGUGAUACCCUGGGAAGUCUUCGUGGUGCAUACCUCGACUGGACUUCCAUUAGAAAUCAUUACUUCUACCACACAUAAAUGAAUUGGUUGACCCACCACAAGGAACUACUUACUUUUCAGAAAUAGGUUUGAGGUCCAAACAUCAUCAGUUACGAGUUUUAAAGGAGGAUGUCCCGAAGACAACCUUCCACACUCAAUGCGGACACUACGAGUCCGUAGUGAUACCUCUCGGAUAGGACCAAUACACCCGUAAUAUUCAUGAACUUAAUGAAUAGGGUAUGCCAUUCCCACUUGGAUCAGUUCGUCAUUGUCUUUUUGAAAUGACUUACUUAUCUACUCUCGUAGUAAGAAGGAAAUCAUAAAGAGCAUCUACAACAAACCCUAGAAACAUUACGAUCAGAAAAGCUUUACGUGGAAUUCUCUAAAAUGCGAUUUUUUAGAUUUGAAAAGUCGAAUUCCUAAGACACAUUACCAGUAAUGUGGGAAUUCUUGAGGACUAUGCCAAAAAAUUAAAACCGCUGAGAAUUUGUCAAUACCGAGGAUGCCGACAGGAAUUCACCAAAUUCUAGGUCUCAUUGACCUACUGUCGAGAGGUCAUUCAAAACUCCUCGCGGAUUACGAAACCUCUUAUGACUUUAACUAGAAGGGAGUGGCUCCUGACUGGGAAGACAAGCAAGAGGAAGAAAACCUUGGAAUUUCAAGUUAGAGGCCAAAUCCUUUUGGAAAUAUCACUCUAGGAAGGCUUGAUACGCUUCGGAAAGCGUGGUAAGCCAAACCCAUAAUAGUUAGGACCUCCGAGAUUCUUUCCGGAAUCGGUCCAAUAACUCACAAACCCAACCUACACCACGAACUCAGUGACGUACAUUUUACCCUUCACGUCUCGAACUUGAAACUGUACCAUUCCGUUAGGACUCUCGUAAGUCCACUCGACGAGAUCAAGAUCAACGAGAUCCUCGCCUUAGUGGAAUAACCGUAGUGACCCUCGCCCGAGUGGUCAAACGGACGAGGCAAACGUCGUCGCCCAUUAUUGAAGGUGCGUUGGGAUACCAACUUAGGACCCGAAUUCACUUAUGAGCGCAAGGACCAAUCGAUUUGGAAAAUUCCCCAUCACCUUGCUCGAUUAUCAAUGCCUACUCCCUUACCUAAAUUCUAAUUUCGAGAUGAAAUUCCCUCUAACAGGGGGGUGAUGUGACAACCCGAAAUUUCCAUUCUGUACAACAUACCAAGUCAAUAGNUCAGUCAAGGACUUCAUUUAAAGUCAAACUCAUUCCUGCUAUCAUUCAACACAAUUUAGAGUCUGUUUGAGAGUUCUGAGCCUCGUACACUUAAGGAAGAAGUGUCGGGGUUUAUUUGCUGAAUUUAUAGCACAAAGAACGAGCCUUAAGCACAUUAAACAUGAGUUCACGGACACCACAUGAGAUUUUAUGGCCGUAAACUCCAUGUGGGCCGUAAACUCACCUUAUAUGGUGAAGAUGAAGGCCAUUUGUCCAUUUCUUUCAUUUCCUUGGCCGAAAUCCUCUCAGGUACCAUCCCGAUCUUAGUCCCCGAUCUUCAAAACUCGUAAGUUUCUUGCCCUAACUAGUUGAUAUCUUAGAUGAUCUAGUAAUCUUACAUGAUUUCAUCCGUGAAAUCAUUCCAUUUUGUAGAUUUUCAAGAUCCACCAAGAACACCAAGAACUCACACUAGUGUUCUUGGCCAGAAACGACCAUUCAAGCUCUUAGAUUGUGAGUACCCUUGAUCCAACUCAUUGUACACUAGGUAUAUCAUGUUUAGAGCUUAGAAAACAUAAUAAAUCAAGGGAUUCAAGGAGUUUACGGCCAAGACAUGUUCUUGGGCUGUAAACCCCUUUUAAGGGUGCAAAUGACACCCAAACAUUUUAGUGAGCCUCAGAUUUUAGCAUAGAACCUUACCCCUUUGAGUUAAGGACUUCAUUUCACGAAAUGGUACUCCUUAGCAUGAUUUUACGGCCGUAAACUCAUGGGGUAGUGGUCCCAGGGCCGUGAACACCAAGCAAGGCCAUUUUAGGACCUUAAACCCACCCAAACAAUUAUUUAAAGCUUUGGAGCACUUAACCAAUUAAUCCCUUAGAGUUUUAAGCCCCUUUUGGUGAUCAAUUGAGAGUUUCUGGCCAGGAGUAAACUCCCCUGGGCUGUAAAAUCCAACAAAGAUGGUCAUUAAACCAUAAACUCAUGUUUGAGGCAUUGCACUCCUUUGUUGCAACCUAAUAGCCUCCUAGCACUUGACCAAAGUGUUUUCCUUACAAUAGGAUGUUUGUAAAUGUUUAAUUAGUGUUAAAACCACUAAUUGUUUAUAUACAUAUGUCUUCAUAUGUAAUUAGGAUCAUUGUGUGUGUCUAAGUCUUCACUUGACACCGAGCACUUGUCCGACACUUCCUUCCGAUCCGCUCCCUGCAGGUGAGUUCAUACCUUUAAAUCAAUCUUUUAAAUGUUUUUAAAUGCUUUAAUGGGGGGGGGGAAUACAGGUUGAAUCAUGCUAGUUAUUAUAUCAAAUAUGUGAUUAAUAACCAGCAUACUAAAGGAUUUACUACACUUUAAGCUGCUUUACCAAACAGAUUUUCGUAAACGGCUUUCCAAUACUUUUACAAACAAACAUCAAGUCAUCUUUCUUAGUUGUUAAACUUUACAAAGGUUUUUACAAAACUCUGUUAUACUUUGUUACCAAACGAUAUAUUUUUGAAAUGUUUAUUAAAAUGACAUCAAGUCAUUGUUAGUUAUUGUUCAAAACUCUUAAAUGUCUUACAAAACCAUUUUUCAUCCUCUUGAUCAAACUAUUUCUAUACACUUUUGUUCUUAUAUAUAUGUAUUGAUAUGAUAGAUUUCAUCCUUCAUUCAGUUCCCACACUCUUGUGUAGCAAGGGUGUAUAAACCUUCUUGGACAUCAAUUACCUUUCAGGUAAACUAUUAUAGGGACAGUUAGGAGGUACAAAACAUUAUUCCUAUUACAAGGAAUUACACCAGAGUCAGUUCAUUCAUAAGUCUAUACUAUACAUUACAUGUUACAUGAAUAUGUCUACAUAGAUACGCUUACAUGAAUACAUUUACUUGUAUUCACAUACACGGAUACUUGUACCUAGAUUCUAUAUGAUGAGUUACUAGUACAUAUUAUACAUUCAAAUUAGUUCUGCCUAUCAUAGUUCAAUAGGAUAACUAGACGGGACUAACCAUUCCGGAACCCACCUGAUAGCAACAGAGGUAAUGAACAUCUAUGGAUGCCUAUGGUUAAUACUUAUAUUAGGAGUACCUUUACGGGACUAACCAUUCCUUAAACCUGCUGCCAGCUACAAGGAAAAUGAACAAUCUACGGAUGUUCAAGGUUAAUACCUUUUCGCCAGUCGCAAUGUCGAGUUGAUCCUAAUACAAAAGGAUAACACUUACAUGGCUAUAUUGUUUCCUAUUACUUUUAUUUUGUGAUACAUUAACAUAAACGAAGAGGUAGACUUUAUUUUGUUAAUAGUAGUUAUAGAGGGUAAAACCCUCUUUGUUAUAGCAAAACAUUCGAGUCUUGGUAGAAGACUACUUUUAAAACAUUCGAGUCUUGGUAGAAGACUACUUUCAAAACAUACAAGUCUUGGCAGAACACUACUUUCAAAACAUACAAGCCUUGGUAGAAGACUACUUUCAGAUCAUUCAAGUCUUGGUAGAAGACUACUUUCAAAAUAUACAAUUCUUGGUAGAAGACUACUUUCAAAACAAUCUGGUCUUAGUAGAAGGCUACUCUUUAUACUAAUAUAAACCAUAGGGAUUUGCUAGGGUAUUCAAAUGCUUUCAAGUGCUUUCAAACAGUUCAUACUUAUACAAUCUUUUUCCAAAGGUUUACAAGUCAUUACUUUACAGUUUUACAAAUCAAAGACACAUUAAUACUUACGAAUUCCCCAGCUUUUUGGCUGAUACUCGCUUUCAAAAUAACUUGUAUUCUCAGGUCACAAAUAGACAGGUACGACGACCAGGUUUUGUGAAGACGGAGCAGUCCAGACUCGUCUUAUAUUUUGAUAGGUCAUUAUGUUGUCUUAUACUAUGAAAUAACACACUUGUAAAUAAAAUUAUACUAUUAAUGCAAUGGAUGUUUUUGUUGCUUGUUUACUACUUUGCAUUGUUAUGUUACAUUAAAUGACGUCCUCCGCCCCAGAACGUUUCCGGCAUUCUCGGUUUUGGGGUGUGACAGCUUCACAACCAAUUUCCGUUCUCUUGGAAAUAGAAACGUAUGGACUCUUUGGAAAUGGUACACGAGACUAUCUCAUAAUUAGCCUUUCUCUUUACCAUUCACUUAAAUGACUUGACCAUGACCGAUCCCUUUCCAUUUGGAAGUGAAAGCUUGUAUGGACUUUUAAUGUUACCAUUACCAAUGUCAAUGGAGUCAUAGGAAGUAGAUCUUCCAAUCAAAUUUGUUUACCAUUGCUCAAAAUCAUUGUUGAUUUAGUAGCAUCGAGCAAAUAUGUAAGAUCAUUAAGGGUCAUGUCAUGGUCUGUCACAUAGCAGUCCUUAAAGAACUCACUAUAUGACUUGGGAAGUGCUUCAAGAACCCAUUCAAUAGUCAACUUCCUUCAGACCUUGACACCCAACUCUCCCGUCUUGCCAAUAUGUGACUUAAUCUCCAAUAUGUAAGCACAUAUAGACUUUGCUUGCCAAAUAGGGAUUGAGUGACCUUGAACUUGUGGAUUAGGGAAAAUUAUUGGAAGAGGUGGAGGAAUUGAGGCUUUAUCCAAAAGGAUGAGGAAGACCAUAGUUGUCUGAACUUAGACAUCUAUGAAGGAGAAAUUCAAGUUUUAGUUGAUUUAAGUCCUUAACAUAAAACCCAAUAUGAAAUAUUAAGGCUAGGACCCAACAAAGUAUUUUAUAACUUGGAAUAGGGAUGCCGUAAUCCAAGCUACAAAAUAUUUGAAGCUAGGUAAAUGACAAUUUACCAAUUUCCACCAUGAAAAACAAAAUAAAUUACUAAGUUUUAAUUGGAUUUGAAACUCCUAUAUCUUUUGAGAUUUAUUGAACUUUCAAUAGCAUGUUUAAAUCUCGAUUUUGCCAUCUCAAGUUUGUGACUGGGAUGUCGAGGAUCACAAAGAAGGUGUGAAUAACCAUGCAAAUUGACUUGGUACCCUUAACUUUAUCACCCAAUCGAUGUGUCGGUUAACCACAUGCGCUCCACCGAUCUAUGAUAAUACUUAAGUCACCCUUUACCACACAUGUUAGUGUGUCGGUUAACCACACAUGCUACACUAAUGACUUAACAAGGGUGCAAAGUGUAAUUUCAUGGGUUAGCACCAAAUUCACAUUUUUCUAAGUACCAAAGAUUGGGAAUUUAUAAGUGUUUAGUUACAUAGGGUUUAUCAUUAUAAUUUUAAUGAAAGGAGAAUUAGAGUCCUAUCCUACCUACUCGGCUAACGACCCUCUACCAUUCAAGGAAGCGGUGGGUGAGAGUGCACAUCCAUUAAACUUCCAUUUUAUAAGCACUAACCUUAUACCCCCCCUUAGAGAUUGGCUUCGUGAAUGAGGCCUACUAACGGUUAGAUUGACUUUACUCUUAUACACACACACACACACACAUAUAUAUAUAUACUUAUAUAAUAAUUAACUUUUAAUAUUAUAAUAGUAUAAAGGUUGAAUUUUUAACUUUUAAAAUUCUAAGGUUUAACUUGGAAUUAAAGUAUACAUGGGGAUGUAACUUGGUGAAUUCCAAAACUUGAGGUCAAGUUUUUGAAACUUCUCAAAGCUCUUCAAUUUGAUAACAUAUGAGUUUAAUAUAGGUUUUUAAAACAUAUAAUGAAGAGACUCUUGAACAUCCAUAACUUGAGGACAAGUUACGGAGUUCAUAAAACUAUUUAUGAAGAAAAGACUCUACAAGUUUCUUAACCUAAGGUUUUUAAUAACUUUUUUUAAUAAGACUUUUCAAAUAACUUGAGGCCAAGUUACAAAAACACAUAUUAUGAAUAACUUUUAGAUUAAUUUGGAUUCAAAACAACUAUCACAAACAUGUAUAGCAAUAUUCAUAAUCUUGAUUAAACUCAUAUGAACAAGAUAAUUCAAAUCAAAAAAAAUUCAUGUAAUUAGCCUAAUCAUUAAACUAAUACAAAAAAUGAAACUUUUGAAAAUUAUCUUUUGAAUUGGAUUAGAAUGAUCAUUACCACAUCAAAAACUAUUUUAUAGGUUUAAAAACAACUUGUGGUAAUGUUCCUAGUCCAAUUCCAACCUUAAAACUCGAAGAUAUGGUGUCUGGGGGUUCAACUUAUCGAGUGCAAGAACCAAAUCAAUGAGCUGGAUGAAUUUAGGCAUGGACUCAGGAAUCCAUCAGUGGACUCGGCGAGUUCACUGUCCAGAACAGCCUAAAAUCGAUUUUUUCAGCAAUUUGCAUCAAGUAAAAUUCAAAACAAGUCUUGGCUCUGAUACCACUGUAGGGUUUUGAGCAUUCUAACACUCCUAAGGUGUUCAUGCAACCCUAAAUAAGUUGGAUCUACGUUUUCACUAAUUAUACAUGCAAUGGUGUUUCAAAGGUAUUAAACCUAUGACUAGCAAACAAUUGUAAUAUACCACACAAGAAUCUAGUUAGGAUAACAUACCUUAUGGUGGAGAUUGAAGUCUUGAUGUAUCAAGCCUUAAGAGCUUAGUCCCAAUAGUGCGGAAGCCUCAAGUGGAAUCACAACACAUCACGGACAAAUGAGGAAAUUGAGAGAGAAUCUCCAUGCACCCAAAACUACAAUGAAUUGCAAGAAUACACUAGUCAGGAUUUUGGGCAAUGAAUUAUGUAUUUAUAUGUGUGAUUUCUAGGGUCAUGGAUAUAACCCAAAUCCAUACCCAUGGGUCUUGUGUCCCAACUCUGUAUGUACCAAUACAUAAACUUGGUACGACAUGGAUCAUAAGCCCAACACACAUGAAUAUAUAACUAAUUAACAUAAUUAGUCCCCAUAGAUUUACUUAGAGUCCUUUUGAUCACUAAAUCAAUUCUAAAUUAAUUCUUGAUCAAUACUAAAUAAAACUUUAUUAUUUCAUAUUAAUAUAUUAGUACUGAUAAUAUAUUAAUAAAUUAUAUAUAAUCUUCUCUCAGGUGUCCAUCUUAACAAACUGUCCUGAUGAUAUGCAACCCAAAUGGACCAUGCAAAUCUCGGGUCAAGUACAUACAAAUAAUAGUUAUGGGCUUAGACAUCUAAUCCAACACUUCAUCCUCCCAGGGUAUCACAUAAACUCCUCCCACAUUCACUACAACUCGCAUGACACCCAAGACUUGGAUAUUUAAGUCACUAUCCUGAAAGCGUGUGAGAUUCCUAAUAAAAUUAGGAGUUAAGAUGCCAUAGGACCGGGCAAGUCGGGUGACUAGAUGGCCACCCGUGAUGGGACUACCGGGUCUAGAGUUAGUCACCUUUCUACCUAUAAAUAGAAAAAUCAUAUACAAAAAAUCACAAAAAAUGUUGGGGGUGAUUAUGCUCCUCGAAUAAAACAGGUUUUGAAUAGGAACUUUAUUUCCAUGAUUUUUAUGAUUUAUCAUGAAGGUAAUGAGGCGAUGCGAAAAGCAAUACACGGGAUUCCGAAUUUGACCUUCACAUGCCUCACUAGAAUUGUACUCAUGAUUUGAUACCGUCCUCCAAAACUGGACAUCAAAAAUCCUGGAGGUGACAUCUCUAACACAUCCCUGCAAGAAUAGAACAAAAAAUGAUGAGAGGGUCUCCUCCUCGGUAUAGAGUCCCUUGCACCAUGCGAAUUCCCGAAGACCGCAUUCGCGGUAUAUGCCUCCCAAUCAAAAAACAAGUUCCCAGUUGCAAGUCGAAUCAAAGCUUUUAUCAUCAAAACUCACUGUGGCAAAGAACUCCACCAAUAAUUCCCGGUAGACGGGUUCUUGAAGAGAAAAUGUAUUCCUCCACCCGUUGCAAGUAAAUGAAAAACCAUUCCCCAUAAACACUUUCGUCCAAUAUCUCUCAAACUUUGUAAGCAUCCCAAGCCCACGUAACCACACCCAAUACACAGAGGGAGCAACUGCAAACUCACGGUAAUAUAACAAUCCUAAAUGAUUUUUGUAAUUAUUCAACAUUACACGGGAAAUAUUUUGCAGAAACUAGUACAGCGGGUGAAUACUCACCACAUCAAUAGGGUCUUGUGGUUGACGAACCGCCCUUUUAGGGCCCAUUUUUCUUGAAAUAACCCGCAAAAAUGAAACAAGCCCAAAACAACCAAGAUAUCAAUUUAUAAGGCAAAACAGGAAAUCGGCCGCCCAGUUUCCACGUCGUGGGUUUCGUCUCCACAUCGUGGACCUGGUCCGAGACGUGUUUCUAGAAUGAACCAUCUAUGGUUAAAAUCAACCACAUAUCUCAAUUUGGGUUCAUUUAUUCCAUUAUUCUAUGGCCUUACAUCACACAUGUAUUUGAAAAUAACCAUCUAAUGGACUUAAUUUUGGGUAUUUCCUCUCUAAAGAAACCCUAACUACCAAAUACAUAAAAUGUGAAGUAACACUUAUCAAAUGACGUUUUAAGACAAAGGGUGCAAGAAAUUUGGAAGAAAAUGGUAGAAAGUGGUAGAAAAUUGAGUGUGGGGUUGAGGUUCUUCUUCCGUGUGCAUAGUAAACAAAUAAGGAAUGGUCAAACUUUUAAAUAUAAACUGGUCCUCCCAUCCGUGUUUUUUAAAGACGAUGUUGUGGACCUGGAUACCACAUCGUGGGCUUGUACACUAAGCCUAAACUGAUCGGGCUACUCUUUCUUUCAUGAAGUGUGCUUUUAACCCAUGACACGAAAUUGAGACUUUAAUCUUUAAAGGUCCAUUUUUAAUAUAAAAACCUUAAUUUAUUUACCAUAAUUUUUUUUUAGAACCCACACAUGAUUUUCACAAAUUCCUUUAAUAAUAAAACAAUUAGAUGACUAAUUAUCCUACAACUCAACUAAAAUGCAAAAAAUUAAAAUAGGUUAAAAAACGAAAAAAGAAAUUAAAACCAGGCUCGGUUUGCCUCCCGAGAAGCACUUCUUUUAGUUAGAGUCUUGAGCCGGACUCCGUGCCACCCUACGUUGACUUAGUCGGAGUAUACUUCACCAUUUGCACCUUUUGCUCCUUCCAUUUCCUUUUAUACGAGUAGACUCGUCUAAGAUACACCUUUUUGGAAUUUUCUUGUUUACCCUUUCCAUCUCAUUCUUUGAUCUUUCUUUUAACUCCCUUAUUUUCCACAUGUUUAACUUCUUCGUUUUUAAGCUCCAUGGACACGAUCCUCAUUUCGACAAUUGAAAUCUUUAAUUUAGAAGUAACAUCUUGUUCAUCACGGGAAACCAAUUCUUCUUUAUCUUCACUCACCCAAGAUGUUGGAGUUUUAUAAUCAGUAACUUUAAAGACCUUAGGAACAGGUUCUCUCGGUGUGGUGCGGUUCACUUGUCGAAUCUCUUCUUCCAUAAGUUUUUCUAAUUUUUCAAGUUCAUUCUCUUCAUCGACAUCGAAAACUUCAUUUUGAACAUUACUUCCUUGGAAACCAUCUUCUACUCCAAAAGUAGCUUCAUCAUCUCCCACUCUCAAGGUAAUCUUGGAAUCGCGAAUAUCAACCAAGGCUCUAAUGGUAUUAAGUAAAGGGCAACCAAAGAUAAUUGGAACAUUAUUGUCUUCUUUUAUGUCCAUUAUGACAAAAUCAAUUAGAAAAAUGAAUUUUCAAAUUUUAACUAAAAUAUCUUCUACAAUUCCUCUCGGAUAUGUCACUGAACGAUUGGCCAUGUAAAUUAUCAUUCUUGUAGCCUUCAACUUUGUAAUAUUGAGCUUUUGAUAAAAUGAGAAUGACAUUAGAUUUACGCUAGCCCCAGAAUCAGCUAUAGCGUAAGUCUUCAUAUUAUUCCCAAAUUUACAUGGAAGAGUGAGGCAUCCAGGAUCUCCCAUCUUCUUUGGUAACUCUCCCAUAAUUACUUUAGAACUCUGUUUACUUAGAAUUACUUUGGAAUCCUUCUCUAGCUGUUGGCGAGUAUUGAUUAAAUCUUGCAAAAAGUUGGCAUACUCGGGAACUUUAGAUAACGAAUCAAUGAAAGGGGUAUUUAUUGGAAUACCCUUCACUUGUUGCGUAAACUUCAUAUGCUCCUGUUCUAGUGGAUGGGUAUUGGCUCGGGUAUGAAACAGUAAAGGAGGACAAUAAGUAGGAACAUUAUCUAAAUUUUCCCUAUUAGACCUAUCCCACAUCGUGGAAAUUGAAUCCCCACGUCGUGGUAUCAGUUUUUUCAGCAAGUUUACGCUCCUCGAGUUUGGACUUCUUUGGCUUUGGUUCAGACUGAGGUGGAUCGACUUCUAGUGCUUCAAAGAACUCAGAAAUGGUAUCCUCUUCGGUUUCUAUUACCAUGGCAUGUGAUUAGGGCCUUUUCCCCAUGAUUUUUGGAGAUAAUUUAUCUUGUACUAGAGUAGUUAGUUGACCUAGUUGGACUUCAAUAUUUUGGAUUAAUGCUUGGUCACUUCGUAGCAAGGCUUGUUGUUCCUUCAUGAUAUUCUGAUCUUCCCUUAUCACUGCAUCUUUUUCAUCGUACCUUUUCUCGGAAACCUCCAUAAAUCUAUGUAACGUAGAUUCAAGAUCAACUUUUUUCUCGGGAGGUGGUUGUUCUUUUUCGUAGAAGCCUCGGUCAAUCUGUCUAUACUUCUCUUCUUUUUGCUUCUUGUAUUUGUUAUAUGGUAACCACUCCCUUUUUGGUUUCCUCCAAUUUUCAACAUACUUGUCCCCACUUGAGUAGCAAACUUGUGCCUUUUUAUUUCCAUGUUCAUCCAAGUGGCUAUCUUUUAUUAAGUGUGGAUCAUUGCACCUUUCACAACGAACUCUAAUUGUAUGAAUUGAUUGGUCCAUUUUGGUCAUUCUUCUAUCCAUGGUAUCAAGCAUGGCUAGUACAGUAGCUAUGUCUUCAGAAUUUACUACCCUAAUUCCUUUAGCUUCGUCAUGUAUUGGAUUAUGGUAUUCACGAGAAUGCUUUGAGAAUUCUUCAAUCAACUCCUUUACUUCACCCAAAAUUUUCUUAGUAAGUGGUCCUUGAGAAUCAAGGAGUUGCCUUGUCAUGACAUUCACCCCGUCAUAAAAGAUACACUUCUUGUUGUAUGUUAAGGACAUUUUGAAGGUAGUUUCUAAGUAACCCUUUAUAACGCUCCCAUUCCUCAUAAAGUAACUCACGCAUUUGUGCCCAACUAGUAAUUGCACUGGGUGGAAGUGCUUUCAACUAGUCUCUUGCAGCUGCUUUAAAAGUAAUAGGAAACAUCCUUAACAACGCAGUCUCUCUUCGAAUAUUCGGGACAUUGAAAUAAUCCGCAAUGUCAUUGACUUCAUCUAAAUGCUUAUAAGCAUCCUCAUGGUUCUGCCCAUAAAAUGGUACAUCCUUAAGUGUAGUAAGAAUGUGCCCUUUCAUCUCGAAUGUUGCAAUGGUGGGAAUUAUAGGUUAUACUAAACCAGGACCAACAUCGUCUCUUAUCCGCUUCUUGUAUGCCCCCGUGGACAUAUCCGCAAUGUUUUCCAUUUUGUUUUAUACGCGUAGACUCGUCUAAGAUACACCUUUUUGGAAUUUUCUUGUUUACCCUUUCCAUCUCAUUCAUCGAUCUUUCUUUGAACUCCCUUAUUUUCCACAUGUUUAACUUCUUCGUUUUUAGGCUCCAUGGACACCAUCCUCUUUUUGACAAUUGAAAUCUUUAAUUUAGAAGUAGCAUCCUCUUCAUCACUAGAAACCAAUUCUUCAUUAUCUUCACUCACCCAAGAUGUUGGAGUUUUAUAAUCAGUAACUUUAAAGACCUUAGGAACAGGUUCGCUCGGUUUGGUGCGGUUCACUUGUCGAAUCUCUUCUUCCAUAAGCUUUUCUAAUUUUUCAAGUUCAUUCUCUUCAUCAACAUCGAAAACAUCAUUUUGAACAUUACUUCCUUGGAAACCAUCUUCUACUCCAAAAGUAGCUUCAUCAUCUCCCACUCUCAAGGUAAUCUUGGAAUCGCGAAUAUCAACCAAGGCUCGUAUGGUAUUAACUAAAGGGCAACCAAAGAUAAUUGGAACAUUAUUGUCUUCUUUCAUGUCCGUUAUGACAAAAUCAAUUAGAAAAAUGAAUUUUCGAAUUUUAACUAAAAUAUCUUCUACAAAUCCUCUCGGAUAUGUCACUGAACGAUUGGCCAUGUAAAUUGUCAUUCUUGUAGCCUUCAACUUUGUAAUAUUGAGCUUUUGAUAAAAUGAGAAUGGCAUUAGAUUUAUGCUAGCCCCAGAAUCAGCUAUAGCGUAAGUCUUCAUAUUAUACCCAAAUUUACAUGGAUGAGUGAGGCAUCCAGGAUCUCCCAUCUUCUUUGGUAACUCUCCCAUAAUUACUUUAGAACUCUGCUUACUUAGAAUUACCUUGGAAUCCUUCUCUAGCUGUUGGCGAGUAUUGAUUAAAUCUUGCAAAAAGUUGGCAUACUUGGGAACUUUAGAUAACGAAUCAAUGAAAGGGGUAUUUAUUGGAAUACCCUUCACUUGUUGCGUAAACUUCAUCUGCUCCUGUUCUAGUGGAUGGGUAUUGGCUCGAGUAUGAAACAGUAAAGGAGGACAAUAAGUAGGAACAUUAUCUAAAUUUUCCCUAUUAGACCUAUCCCACAUCGUGGAAAUUGAAUCCCCACGUCGUGGUAUCAGUUUUUUCAGCAAGUUUACGCUCCUCGAGUUUGGACUUCUUUGGCUUUGGUUCAGACUGAGGUGGAUCGACUUCUAGUGCUUCAAAUAACUCAGAAAUGGUAUCCUCUUCGGUUUCUAUUACCAUGGCAUGUGAUUGGGGCCUUUUCCCCACGAUUUUUGGAGAUAAUUUAUCUUGUACUAGAGUAGUUAGUUGACCUAGUUGGACUUCAAUAUUUUGGAUUGAUGCUUGGUCACUUCGUAGCAAGGCUUGUUGUUCCUUCAUGAUAUUCUGAUCUUCCCUUAUCACUGCAUCUUUUUCAUCGUACCUUUUCUCGGAAACCUCCAUAAAUCUAUGUAACGUAGAUUCAAGAUCAACUUUUUUCUCGGGAGGUGGUUGUUCUUUUUCGUAGAAGCCUCGGUCAAUCUGUCUAUACUUCUCUUCUUUUUGCUUCUUGUAUUUGUUAUAUGGUAACCACUCCCUUUUUGGUUUCCUCCAAUUUUCAACAUACUUGUCCCCACUUGAGUAGCAAACUUGUGCCUUUUUAUUUCCAUGUUCAUCCAAGUGGCUAUCUUUUAUUAAGUGUGGAUCAUUGCACCUUUCACAACAAACUCUAAUUGCAUGAAUUGAUUGGUCCAUUUUGGUCAUUCUUCUAUCCAUGGUAUCAAGCAUGGCUAGUACAGUAGCUAUGUCUUCAGAAUUUACUACCCUAAUUCCUUUAGCUUCGUCAUGUAUUGGAUUAUGGUAUUCACGAGAAUGCUUUGAGAAUUCUUCAAUCAACUCCUUUACUUCACCCAAAAUUUUCUUAGUAAGUGGUCCUUGAGAAUCAAGGAGUUGCCUUGUCAUGACAUUCACCCCGUCAUAAAAGAUACACUUCUUGUUGUAUGUUAAGGUCAUUUUGAAGGUAGUUUCUAAGUAACCCUUUAUAACGCUCCCAUUCCUCAUAAAGUAACUCACGCAUUUGUGCCCAACUAGUAAUUGCACUAGGUGGAAGUGCUUUGAACUGAUCUCUUGCAGCUGCUUUAAAAGUAACAGGAAACAUCCUUAACAACGCAGUCUCUCUUCGAAUAUUCGGGACAUUGAAAUAAUCCGCAAUGUCAUUGACUUCAUCUAAAUGCUUAUAAGCAUCCUCAUGGUUCUGCCCAUAAAAUGGUACAUCCUUAAGUGUAGUAAGAAUGUGCCCUUUCAUCUCGAAUGUUGCAAUGGUGGGAAUUAUAGGUUAUACUAAACCAGGACCAACAUCGUCUCUUAUCCGCUUCUUGUAUGCCCCCGUGGACAUAUCCGCAAUGUUUUCCAUUUUGUUUUAUACGCGUAGACUCGUCUAAGAUACACCUUUUUGGAAUUUUCUUGUUUACCCUUUCCAUCUCAUUCAUCGAUCUUUCUUUGAACUCCCUUAUUUUCCACAUGUUUAACUUCUUCGUUUUUAGGCUCCAUGGACACCAUCCUCUUUUCGACAAUUGAAAUCUUUAAUUUAGAAGUAGCAUCCUCUUCAUCACUAGAAACCAAUUCUUCAUUAUCUUCACUCACCCAAGAUGUUGGAGUUUUAUAAUCAGUAACUUUAAAGACCUUAGGAACAGGUUCGCUCGGUUUGGUGCGGUUCACUUGUCGAAUCUCUUCUUCCAUAAGCUUUUCUAAUUUUUCAAGUUCAUUCUCUUCAUCAACAUCGAAAACAUCAUUUUGAACAUUACUUCCUUGGAAACCAUCUUCUACUCCAAAAGUAGCUUCAUCAUCUCCCACUCUCAAGGUAAUCUUGGAAUCGCGAAUAUCAACCAAGGCUCGUAUGGUAUUAACUAAAGGGCAACCAAAGAUAAUUGGAACAUUAUUGUCUUCUUUCAUGUCCCUUAUGACAAAAUCAAUUAGAAAAAUGAAUUUUCAAAUUUUAACUAAAAUAUCUUCUACAAAUCCUCUCGGAUAUGUCACUGAACGAUUGGCCAUGUAAAUUGUCAUUCUUGUAGCCUUCAACUUUGUAAUAUUGAGCUUUUGAUAAAAUGAGAAUGGCAUUAGAUUUAUGCUAGCCCCAGAAUCAGCUAUAGCGUAAGUCUUCAUAUUAUACCCAAAUUUACAUGGAUGAGUGAGGCAUCCAGGAUCUCCCAUCUUCUUUGGUAACUCUCCCAUAAUUACUUUAGAACUCUGCUUACUUAGAAUUACCUUGGAAUCCUUCUCUAGCUGUUGGCGAGUAUUGAUUAAAUCUUGCAAAAACUUGGCAUACUCGGGAACUUUAGAUAACGAAUCAAUGAAAGGGGUAUUUAUUGGAAUACCCUUCACUUGUUGUGUAAAAUUCAUAUGCUCCUGUUCUAGUGGAUGGGUAUUGGCUCGGGUACGAAACGGUAAAGGAGGACAAUAAGUAGGAACAUUAUCUAAAUUUUUCCUAUUAGACCUAUCCCACAUCGUGGAAAUUGAAUCCCCACGUCGUGGUAUCAGUUUUUUCAGCAAGUUUACGCUCCUCGAGUUUGGACUUCUUUGGCUUUGGUUCAGACUGAGGUGGAUCGACUUCUAGUGCUUCAAAUAACUCAGAAAUGGUAUCCUCUUCGGUUUCUAUUACCAUGGCAUGUGAUUGGGGCCUUUUCCCCACGAUUUUUGGAGAUAAUUUAUCUUGUACUAGAGUAGUUAGUUGACCUAGUUGGACUUCAAUAUUUUGGAUUGAUGCUUGGUCACUUCGUAGCAAGGCUUGUUGUUCCUUCAUGAUAUUCUGAUCUUCCCUUAUCACUGCAUCUUUUUCAACGUACCUUUUCUUGGAAACCUCCAUAAAUCUAUGUAACGUAGAUUCAAGAUCAACUUUUUUCUCGGGAGGUGGUUGUUCUUUUUCGUAGAAGCCUCGGUCAAUCUGUCUAUACUUCUCUUCUUUUUGCUUCUUGUAUUUGUUAUAUGGUAACCACUCCCUUUUUGGUUUCCUCCAAUUUUCAACAUACUUGUCCCCACUUGAGUAGCAAACUUGUGCCUUUUUAUUUCCAUGUUCAUCCAAGUGGCUAUCUUUUAUUAAGUGUGGAUCAUUGCACCUUUCACAACAAACUCUAAUUGCAUGAAUUGAUUGGUCCAUUUUGGUCAUUCUUCUAUCCAUGGUAUCAAGCAUGGCUAGUACAGUAGCUAUGUCUUCAGAAUUUACUACCCUAAUUCCUUUAGCUUCGUCAUGUAUUGGAUUAUGGUAUUCACGAGAAGGCUUUGAGAAUUCUUCAAUCAACUCCUUUACUUCACCCAAAAUUUUCUUAGUAAGUGGUCCUUGAGAAUCAAGGAGUUGCCUUGUCAUGACAUUCACCCCGUCAUAAAAGAUACACUUCUUGUUGUAUGUUAAGGACAUUUUGAAGGUAGUUUCUAAGUAACCCUUUAUAACGCUCCCAUUCCUCAUAAAGUAACUCACGCAUUUGUGCCCAACUAGUAAUUGCACUGGGUGGAAGUGCUUUCAACUAGUCUCUUGCAGCUGCUUUAAAAGUAAUAGGAAACAUCCUUAACAACGCAGUCUCUCUUCGAAUAUUCGGGACAUUGAAAUAAUCCGCAAUGUCAUUGACUUCAUCUAAAUGCUUAUAAGCAUCCUCAUGGUUCUGCCCAUAAAAUGGUACAUCCUUAAGUGUAGUAAGAAUGUGCCCUUUCAUCUCGAAUGUUGCAAUGGUGGGAAUUAUAGGUUAUACUAAACCAGGACCAACAUCGUCUCUUAUCCGCUUCUUGUAUGCCCCCGUGGACAUAUCCGCAAUGUUUUCCAUUUUGGUUUAUACGCGUAGACUCGUCUAAGAUACACCUUUUUGGAAUUUUCUUGUUUACCCUUUCCAUCUCAUUCAUCGAUCUUUCUUUGAACUCCCUUAUUUUCCACAUGUUUAACUUCUUCGUUUUUAGGCUCCAUGGACACCAUCCUCUUUUCGACAAUUGAAAUCUUUAAUUUAGAAGUAGCAUCCUCUUCAUCACUAGAAACCAAUUCUUCAUUAUCUUCACUCACCCAAGAUGUUGGAGUUUUAUAAUCAGUAACUUUAAAGACCUUAGGAACAGGUUCGCUCGGUUUGGUGCGGUUCACUUGUCGAAUCUCUUCUUCCAUAAGCUUUUCUAAUUUUUCAAGUUCAUUCUCUUCAUCAACAUCGAAAACAUCAUUUUGAACAUUACUUCCUUGGAAACCAUCUUCUACUCCAAAAGUAGCUUCAUCAUCUCCCACUCUCAAGGUAAUCUUGGAAUCGCGAAUAUCAACCAAGGCUCGUAUGGUAUUAACUAAAGGGCAACCAAAGAUAAUUGGAACAUUAUUGUCUUCUUUCAUGUCCCUUAUGACAAAAUCAAUUAGAAAAAUGAAUUUUCAAAUUUUAACUAAAAUAUCUUCUACAAAUCCUCUCGGAUAUGUCACUGAACGAUUGGCCAUGUAAAUUGUCAUUCUUGUAGCCUUCAACUUUGUAAUAUUGAGCUUUUGAUAAAAUGAGAAUGGCAUUAGAUUUAUGCUAGCCCCAGAAUCAGCUAUAGCGUAAGUCUUCAUAUUAUACCCAAAUUUACAUGGAUGAGUGAGGCAUCCAGGAUCUCCCAUCUUCUUUGGUAACUCUCCCAUAAUUACUUUAGAACUCUGCUUACUUAGAAUUACCUUGGAAUCCUUCUCUAGCUGUUGGCGAGUAUUGAUUAAAUCUUGCAAAAACUUGGCAUACUCGGGAACUUUAGAUAACGAAUCAAUGAAAGGGGUAUUUAUUGGAAUACCCUUCACUUGUUGUGUAAAAUUCAUAUGCUCCUGUUCUAGUGGAUGGGUAUUGGCUCGGGUACGAAACGGUAAAGGAGGACAAUAAGUAGGAACAUUAUCUAAAUUUUUCCUAUUAGACCUAUCCCACAUCGUGGAAAUUGAAUCCCCACGUCGUGGUAUCAGUUUUUUCAGCAAGUUUACGCUCCUCGAGUUUGGACUUCUUUGGCUUUGGUUCAGACUGAGGUGGAUCGACUUCUAGUGCUUCAAAUAACUCAGAAAUGGUAUCCCUUUCGGUUUCUACUACCAUGGCAUGUGAUUGGGGCCAUUUCCCCACGAUUUUUGGAGAUAAUUUAUCUUGUACUAGAGUAGUUAGUUGACCUAGUUGGACUUCAAUAUUUUGGAUUAAUGCUUGGUCACUUCGUAGCAAGGCUUGUUGUUCCUUCAUGAUAUUCUGAUCUUCCCUUAUCACUGCAUCUUUUUCAUCGUACCUUUUCUCGGAAACCUCCAUAAAUCUAUGUAACGUAGAUUCAAGAUCAACUUUUUUCUCGGGAGGUGGUUGUUCUUUUUCGUAGAAGCCUCGGUCAAUCUGUCUAUACUUCUCUUCUUUUUGCUUCUUGUAUUUGUUAUAUGGUAACCACUCCCUUUUUGGUUUCCUCCAAUUUUCAACAUACUUGUCCCCACUUGAGUAGCAAACUUGUGCCUUUUUAUUUCCAUGUUCAUCCAAGUGGCUAUCUUUUAUUAAGUGUGGAUCAUUGCACCUUUCACAACAAACUCUAAUUGCAUGAAUUGAUUGGUCCAUUUUGGUCAUUCUUCUAUCCAUGGUAUCAAGCAUGGCUAGUACAGUAGCUAUGUCUUCAGAAUUUACUACCCUAAUUCCUUUAGCUUCGUCAUGUAUUGGAUUAUGGUAUUCACGAGAAUGCUUUGAGAAUUCUUCAAUCAACUCCUUUACUUCACCCAAAAUUUUCUUAGUAAGUGGUCCUUGAGAAUCAAGGAGUUGCCUUGUCAUGACAUUCACCCCGUCAUAAAAGAUACACUUCUUGUUGUAUGUUAAGGACAUUUUGAAGGUAGUUUCUAAGUAACCCUUUAUAACGCUCCCAUUCCUCAUAAAGUAACUCACGCAUUUGUGCCCAACUAGUAAUUGCACUGGGUGGAAGUGCUUUCAACUAGUCUCUUGCAGCUGCUUUAAAAGUAAUAGGAAACAUCCUUAACAACGCAGUCUCUCUUCGAAUAUUCGGGACAUUGAAAUAAUCCGCAAUGUCAUUGACUUCAUCUAAAUGCUUAUAAGCAUCCUCAUGGUUCUGCCCAUAAAAUGGUACAUCCUUAAGUGUAGUAAGAAUGUGCCCUUUCAUCUCGAAUGUUGCAAUGGUGGGAAUUAUAGGUUAUACUAAACCAGGACCAACAUCGUCUCUUAUCCGCUUCUUGUAUGCCCCCGUGGACAUAUCCGCAAUGUUUUCCAUUUUGUUUUAUACGCGUAGACUCGUCUAAGAUACACCUUUUUGGAAUUUUCUUGUUUACCCUUUCCAUCUCAUUCAUCGAUCUUUCUUUGAACUCCCUUAUUUUCCACAUGUUUAACUUCUUCGUUUUUAGGCUCCAUGGACACCAUCCUCUUUUCGACAAUUGAAAUCUUUAAUUUAGAAGUAGCAUCCUCUUCAUCACUAGAAACCAAUUCUUCAUUAUCUUCACUCACCCAAGAUGUUGGAGUUUUAUAAUCAGUAACUUUAAAGACCUUAGGAACAGGUUCGCUCGGUUUGGUGCGGUUCACUUGUCGAAUCUCUUCUUCCAUAAGCUUUUCUAAUUUUUCAAGUUCAUUCUCUUCAUCAACAUCGAAAACAUCAUUUUGAACAUUACUUCCUUGGAAACCAUCUUCUACUCCAAAAGUAGCUUCAUCAUCUCCCACUCUCAAGGUAAUCUUGGAAUCGCGAAUAUCAACCAAGGCUCGUAUGGUAUUAACUAAAGGGCAACCAAAGAUAAUUGGAACAUUAUUGUCUUCUUUCAUGUCCCUUAUGACAAAAUCAAUUAGAAAAAUGAAUUUUCAAAUUUUAACUAAAAUAUCUUCUACAAAUCCUCUCGGAUAUGUCACUGAACGAUUGGCCAUGUAAAUUGUCAUUCUUGUAGCCUUCAACUUUGUAAUAUUGAGCUUUUGAUAAAAUGAGAAUGGCAUUAGAUUUAUGCUAGCCCCAGAAUCAGCUAUAGCGUAAGUCUUCAUAUUAUACCCAAAUUUACAUGGAUGAGUGAGGCAUCCAGGAUCUCCCAUCUUCUUUGGUAACUCUCCCAUAAUUACUUUAGAACUCUGCUUACUUAGAAUUACCUUGGAAUCCUUCUCUAGCUGUUGGCGAGUAUUGAUUAAAUCUUGCAAAAACUUGGCAUACUCGGGAACUUUAGAUAACGAAUCAAUGAAAGGGGUAUUUAUUGGAAUACCCUUCACUUGUUGUGUAAACUUCAUAUGCUCCUGUUCUAGUGGAUGGGUAUUGGCUCGGGUACGAAACGGUAAAGGAGGACAAUAAGUAGGAACAUUAUCUAAAUUUUUCCUAUUAGACCUAUCCCACAUCGUGGAAAUUGAAUCCCCACGUCGUGGUAUCAGUUUUUUCAGCAAGUUUACGCUCCUCGAGUUUGGACUUCUUUGGCUUUGGUUCAGACUGAGGUGGAUCGACUUCUAGUGCUUCAAAGAACUCAGAAAUGGUAUCCUCUUCGGUUUCUAUUACCAUGGCAUGUGAUUAGGGCCUUUUCCCCACGAUUUUUGGAGAUAAUUUAUCUUGUACUAGAGUAGUUAGUUGACCUAGUUGGACUUCAAUAUUUUGGAUUAAUGCUUGGUCACUUCGUAGCAAGGCUUGUUGUUCCUUCAUGAUAUUCUGAUCUUCCCUUAUCACUGCAUCUUUUUCAUCGUACCUUUUCUCGGAAACCUCCAUAAAUCUAUGUAACGUAGAUUCAAGAUCAACUUUUUUCUCGGGAGGUGGUUGUUCUUUUUCGUAGAAGCCUCGGUCAAUCUGUCUAUACUUCUCUUCUUUUUGCUUCUUGUAUUUGUUAUAUGGUAACCACUCCCUUUUUGGUUUCCUCCAAUUUUCAACAUACUUGUCCCCACUUGAGUAGCAAACUUGUGCCUUUUUAUUUCCAUGUUCAUCCAAGUGGCUAUCUUUUAUUAAGUGUGGAUCAUUGCACCUUUCACAACAAACUCUAAUUGCAUGAAUUGAUUGGUCCAUUUUGGUCAUUCUUCUAUCCAUGGUAUCAAGCAUGGCUAGUACAGUAGCUAUGUCUUCAGAAUUUACUACCCUAAUUCCUUUAGCUUCGUCAUGUAUUGGAUUAUGGUAUUCACGAGAAUGCUUUGAGAAUUCUUCAAUCAACUCCUUUACUUCACCCAAAAUUUUCUUAGUAAGUGGUCCUUGAGAAUCAAGGAGUUGCCUUGUCAUGACAUUCACCCCGUCAUAAAAGAUACACUUCUUGUUGUAUGUUAAGGACAUUUUGAAGGUAGUUUCUAAGUAACCCUUUAUAACGCUCCCAUUCCUCAUAAAGUAACUCACGCAUUUGUGCCCAACUAGUAAUUGCACUGGGUGGAAGUGCUUUCAACUAGUCUCUUGCAGCUGCUUUAAAAGUAAUAGGAAACAUCCUUAACAACGCAGUCUCUCUUCGAAUAUUCGGGACAUUGAAAUAAUCCGCAAUGUCAUUGACUUCAUCUAAAUGCUUAUAAGCAUCCUCAUGGUUCUGCCCAUAAAAUGGUACAUCCUUAAGUGUAGUAAGAAUGUGCCCUUUCAUCUCGAAUGUUGCAAUGGUGGGAAUUAUAGGUUAUACUAAACCAGGACCAACAUCGUCUCUUAUCCGCUUCUUGUAUGCCCCCGUGGACAUAUCCGCAAUGUUUUCCAUUUUGGUUUAUACGCGUAGACUCGUCUAAGAUACACCUUUUUGGAAUUUUCUUGUUUACCCUUUCCAUCUCAUUCAUCGAUCUUUCUUUGAACUCCCUUAUUUUCCACAUGUUUAACUUCUUCGUUUUUAGGCUCCAUGGACACCAUCCUCUUUUCGACAAUUGAAAUCUUUAAUUUAGAAGUAGCAUCCUCUUCAUCACUAGAAACCAAUUCUUCAUUAUCUUCACUCACCCAAGAUGUUGGAGUUUUAUAAUCAGUAACUUUAAAGACCUUAGGAACAGGUUCGCUCGGUUUGGUGCGGUUCACUUGUCGAAUCUCUUCUUCCAUAAGCUUUUCUAAUUUUUCAAGUUCAUUCUCUUCAUCAACAUCGAAAACAUCAUUUUGAACAUUACUUCCUUGGAAACCAUCUUCUACUCCAAAAGUAGCUUCAUCAUCUCCCACUCUCAAGGUAAUCUUGGAAUCGCGAAUAUCAACCAAGGCUCGUAUGGUAUUAACUAAAGGGCAACCAAAGAUAAUUGGAACAUUAUUGUCUUCUUUCAUGUCCCUUAUGACAAAAUCAAUUAGAAAAAUGAAUUUUCAAAUUUUAACUAAAAUAUCUUCUACAAAUCCUCUCGGAUAUGACACUGAACGAUUGGCCAUGUAAAUUGUCAUUCUUGUAGCCUUCAACUUUGUAAUAUUGAGCUUUUGAUAAAAUGAGAAUGGCAUUAGAUUUAUGCUAGCCCCAGAAUCAGCUAUAGCGUAAGUCUUCAUAUUAUACCCAAAUUUACAUGGAUGAGUGAGGCAUCCAGGAUCUCCCAUCUUCUUUGGUAACUCUCCCAUAAUUACUUUAGAACUCUGCUUACUUAGAAUUACCUUGGAAUCCUUCUCUAGCUGUUGGCGAGUAUUGAUUAAAUCUUGCAAAAACUUGGCAUACUCGGGAACUUUAGAUAACGAAUCAAUGAAAGGGGUAUUUAUUGGAAUACCCUUCACUUGUUGUGUAAACUUCAUAUGCUCCUGUUCUAGUGGAUGGGUAUUGGCUCGGGUAUGAAACAGUAAAGGAGGACAAUAAGUAGGAACAUUAUCUAAAUUUUCCCUAUUAGACCUAUCCCACAUCGUGGAAAUUGAAUCCCCACGUCGUGGUAUCAGUUUUUUCAGCAAGUUUACGCUCCUCGAGUUUGGACUUCUUUGGCUUUGGUUCAGACUGAGGUGGAUCGACUUCUAGUGCUUCAAAGAACUCAGAAAUGGUAUCCUCUUCGGUUUCUAUUACCAUGGCAUGUAAUUGGGGCCUUUUCCCCACGAUUUUUGGAGAUGAUUUAUCUUGUACUAGAGUAAUUAGUUGACCUAGUUGGACUUCAAUAUUUUGGAUUGAUGCUUGGUCACUUUGUAGCAAGGCUUGUUGUUCCUUCAUGAUAUUCUGAUCUUCCCUUAUCACUGCAUCUUUUUCAUGGUACCUUUUCUCGGAAAGCUCCAUAAAUCUAUGUAACGUAGAUUCAAGAUCAACUUUUUUCUCGGGAGGUGGUUGUUCUUUUUCGUAGAAGUCUCGGUCAAUCUGUCUAUANAGAAGCCUCGGUCAAUCUGUCUAUACUUCUCUUCUUUUUGCUUCUUGUAUUUGUUAUAUGGUAACCACUCCCUUUUUGGUUUCCUCCAAUUUUCAACAUACUUGUCCCCACUUGAGUAGCAAACUUGUGCCUUUUUAUUUCCAUGUUCAUCCAAGUGGCUAUCUUUUAUUAAGUGUGGAUCAUUGCACCUUUCACAACAAACUCUAAUUGCAUGAAUUGAUUGGUCCAUUUUGGUCAUUCUUCUAUCCAUGGUAUCAAGCAUGGCUAGUACAAUAGCUAUGUCUUCAGAAUUUACUACCCUAAUUCCUUUAGCUUCGUCAUGUAUUGGAUUAUGGUAUUCACGAGAAUGCGUUGAGAAUUCUUCAAUCAACUCCUUUACUUCACCCAAAAUUUUCUUAGUAAGUGGUCCUUGAGAAUCAAGAAGUUGCCUUGUCAUGACAUUCACCCCGUCAUAAAAGAUACACUUUUUGUUGUAUGUUAAGGUCAUUUUGAAGGUAGUUUCUAAGUACCCUUUAUAACGCUCCCAUUCCUCAUAAAGUAACUCACGCAUUUGUGCCCAACUAGUAAUUGCACUAGGUGGAAGUGCUUCCAACUAGNUUGCACUGGGUGGAAGUGCUUUCAACUAGUCUCUUGCAGCUGCUUUAAAAGUAAUAGGAAACAUCCUUAACAACGCAGUCUCUCUUCGAAUAUUCGGGACAUUGAAAUAAUCCGCAAUGUCAUUGACUUCAUCUAAAUGGAUAUAAGCAUCCUCAUGGUUCUGCCCAUAAAAUGGUACAUCCUUAAGUGUAGUAAGAAUGUGCCCUUUCAUCUCGAAUGUUGCAAUGUUGGGAAUUAUAGGUUAUACUAAACCAGGACCAACAUCGUCUCUUAUCCGCUUCUUGUAUGCCCCCGUGGACAUAUCCGCAAUGUUUUCCAUUUAUUUUUAUACGCGUAGACUCAUCUAAGAUACACCUUUUUGGAAUUUUUUUGUUUACCCUUUCCAUCUCAUUCAUCGAUCUUUCUUUUAACUCCCUUAUUUUCCACAUGUUUAACUUCUUCGUUUUUAAGCUCCAUGGACACCAUCCUCUUUUCGACAAUUGAAAUCUUUAAUUUAGAAGUAGCAUCCUCUUCAUCGCUAGAAACCAGUUCUUCAUUAUCUUCACUCACCCAAGAUGUUGGAGUUUUAUAAUCAGUAACUUUAAAGACCUUAGGAACAGGUUCGCUCGGUUUGGUGCGGUUCACUUGUCGAAUCUCUUCUUCCAUAAGCUUUUCUAAUUUUUCAAGUUCAUUCUCUUCAUCAACAUCGAAAACAUCAUUUUGAACAUUACUUCCUUGGAAACCAUCUUCUACUCCAAAAGUAGCUUCAUCAUCUCCCACUCUCAAGGUAAUCUUGGAAUCGCGAAUAUCAACCAAGGCUCUUAUGGUAUUAACUAAAGGGCAACCAAAGAUAAUUGGAACAUUAUUGUCUUCUUUCAUGUCCAUUAUGACAAAAUCAAUUAGAAAAAUGAAUUUUCAAAUCUUAACUAAAAUAUCUUCUACAAUUCCUCUCGGAUAUGUCACUGAACGAUUGGCCAUGUAAAUUGUCAUUCUUGUAGCCUUCAACUUUGUAAUAUUAAGCUUUUGAUAAAAUGAGAAUGGCAUUAGAUUUAUGCUAGCCCCAGAAUCAGCUAUAGCGUAAGUCUUCAUAUUAUACCCAAAUUUACAUGGAUGAGUGAGGCAUCCAGGAUCUCCCAUCUUCUUUGGUAACUCUCCCAUAAUUACUUUAGAACUCUGCUUACUUAGAAUUACCUUGGAAUCCUUCUCUAGCUGUUGGCGAGUAUUGAUUAAAUUUUGCAAAAAGUUGGCAUACUCGGGAACAUCCUUAACAAUGCAUUCUCUCUUCGAACAUUCGGGACAUUGAAAUAAUCUGCAAUGUCAUUGACUUCAUCUAAAUGCUUAUAAGCAUCCUCAUGGUUCUGCCCAUAAAAUGGUACAUCCUUAAGUGUAGUAAGAAUGUGCCCUUUCAUCUCGAAUGUUGCAAUGGUGGGAAUUAUAGGUUAUACUAAACCAGGACCAACAUCGUCUCUUAUCCGCUUCUUGUAUGCCCCCGUGGACAUAUCCGCAAUGUUUUCCAUUUUGCUUUAAACGCGUUGACUCGUCUAAGAUACACCUUUUUGGAAUUUUCUUGUUUACCCUUUCCAUCUCAUUCUUCGAUCUUUCUUUUAACUCCCUUAUUUUCCACAUGUUUAACUUCUUCGUUUUUAUGCUCCAUGGACACCAUCCUCUUUUCGACAAUUGAAAUCUUUAAUUUAGAUGUAACAUCCUCUUCAUGACUGGAAACCAAUUCUUCAUUGUCUUCACUCACCCAAGAUGUUGGAGUUUUAUAAUCAGUAACUUUAAAGACCUUAGGAACAGGUUCUCUCGGUUUGGUGCGGUUCACAUGUCGAAUCUCUUCUUCCAUAAGCUUUUCUAAUUUUUCAAGUUCAUUCUCUUCAUCAACAUUGAAAACAUCAUUUUGAACAUUACUUCCUUGGAAACCAUCUUCUACUCCAAAAGUAGCUUCAUCAUCUCCCACUCUCAAGGUAAUCAUGGAAUCGCGAAUAUCAAUCAAGGCUCUUAUGGUAUUAACUAAAGGGAAACCAAAGAUAAUUGGAACAUUAUUGUCUUCUUUCAUGUCCCUUAUGACAAAAUCAAUUAGAAAAAUGAAUUUUCAAAUUUUAACUAAAAUAUCUUCUACAAAUCCUCUUGGAUAUGUCACUGAACGAUUGGCCAUGUAAAUUGUCAUUCUUGUAGCCUUCAACUUUGUAAUAUUGAGCUUUUGAUAAAAUGAGAAUGACAUUAGAUUUACGCUUGCCCCAGAAUCAGCUAUAGCGUAAGUCUUCAUAUUAUUCCCAAAUUUACAUGGUAGAGUGAGGCAUCCAGGAUCUCCCAUCUUCUUUGGUAACUCUCCCAUAAUUACUUUAGAUCUCUGCUUACUUAGAAUUACCUUGGAAUCCUUCUCUAGCUGUUGGCGAGUAUUGAUUAAAUCUUGCAAAAACUUGGCAUACUCAGGAACUUUAGAUAAUGAAUCAAUGAAAGGGGUAUUUAUUGGAAUACCCUUCACUUGUUGCAUAAACUUCAUAUGCUACUGUUCUAGUGGAUGGGUAUUGGCUCGGGUACGAAACAGUAAAGCAGGACAAUAAGUAGGAACAUUAUCUAAAUUUUUCCUAUUAGACCUAUCCCAUAUCGUGGAAAUUGAAUCCCCACGUCGUGGUAUCAGUUUUUUCAGCAAGUUUACGCUCCUCGAGUUUGGACUUCUUUGGCUUUGGUUCAGACUGAGGUGGAUCGACUUCUAGUGCUUCAAAUAACUCAGAAAUGGUAUCCUCUUCGGUUUCUAUUACCAUGGCAUGUGAUUGGGGCCUUUUCCCCACGAUUUUUGGAGAUAAUUUAUCUUGUACUAGAGUAGUUAGUUGACCUAGUUGGACUUCAAUAUUUUGGAUUGAUGCUUGGUCACUUCGUAGCAAGGCUUGUUGUUCCUUCAUGAUAUUCUGAUCUUCCCUUAUCACUGCAUCUUUUUCAUCGUACCUUUUCUCGGAAACCUCCAUAAAUCUAUGUAACGUAGAUUCAAGAUCAACUUUUUUCUCGGGAGGUGGUUGUUCUUUUUCGUAGAAGCCUCGGUCAAUCUGUCUAUACUUCUCUUCUUUUUGCUUCUUGUAUUUGUUAUAUGGUAACCACUCCCUUUUUGGUUUCCUCCAAUUUUCAACAUACUUGUCCCCACUUGAGUAGCAAACUUGUGCCUUUUUAUUUCCAUGUUCAUCCAAGUGGCUAUCUUUUAUUAAGUGUGGAUCAUUGCAACUUUCCCAACAAACUCUAAUUGCAUGAUGUGAUUGGUCCAUUUUGGUCAUUCUUCUAUUUAUGGUAUCAAGCAUGGCUAGUACAGUAGCUAUGUCUUCAGAAUUUACUACCCUAAUUCCUUUAGCUUCGUCAUGUAUUGGAUUAUGGUAUUCACGAGAAUGCUUUGAGAAUUCUUCAAUCAACUCCUUUACUUCACCCAAAAUUUUCUUAGUAAGUGGUCCUUGAGAAUCAAGGAGUUGCCUUGUCAUGACAUUCACCCCGUCAUAAAAGAUACAUUUCUUAUUGUAUGUUAAGGACAUUUUGAAGGUAGUUUCUAAGUAACCCUUUAUAACACACCCAUUCCUCAUAAAGUAACUCACGCAUUUGUGCCCAACUAGUAAUUGCACUAGGUGGAAGUGCUUUCAACUAGUCUCUUGCAACUGCUUUAAAAGUAAUAGGAAACAUCCUUAACAAAGCAGUCUCUCUUCGAACAUUCGGGACAUUGAAAUAAUCUGCAAUGUUAUUGACUUCAUCUAAAUGCUUAUAAGCAUCCUCAUGGUUCUGCCCAUAAAAUGGUACAUCCUUAAGUGUAGUAAGAAUGUGCCCUUUCAUCUCGAAUGUUGCAAUGGUGGGAAUUAUAGGUUAUACUAAACCAGGACCAACAUCGUCUCUUAUCCGCUUCUUGUAUGCCCCCGUGGACAUAUCCGCAAUGUUUUCCAUUUUGUUUUAUACGCGUAGACUCGUCUAAGAUACACCUUUUUGGAAUUUUCUUGUUUACCCUUUCCAUCUCAUUCAUCGAUCUUUCUUUGAACUCCCUUAUUUUCCACAUGUUUAACUUCUUCGUUUUUAGGCUCCAUGGACACCAUCCUCUUUUCGAUAAUUGAAAUCUUUAAUUUAGAAGUAGCAUCCUCUUCAUCACUAGAAACCAAUUCUUCAUUAUCUUCACUCACCUAAGAUGUUGGAGUUUUAUAAUCAGUAACUUUAAAGUCCUUAGGAACAGGUUCGCUCGGUUUGGUGCGGUUCACUUGUCGAAUCUCUUCUUCCAUAAGCUUUUCUAAUUUUUCAAGUUCAUUCUCUUCAUCAACAUCGAAAACAUCAUUUUGAACAUUACUUCCUUGGAAACCAUCUUCUACUCCAAAAGUAGCUUCAUCAUCUCCCACUCUCAAGGUAAUCUUGGAAUCGCGAAUAUCAACCAAGGCUCGUAUGGUAUUAACUAAAGGGCAACCAAAGAUAAUUGGAACAUUAUUGUCUUCUUUCAUGUCCAUUAUGACAAAAUCAAUCAGAAAAAUGAAUUUUCAAAUUUUAACUAAAAUAUCUUCUACAAUUCCUCUCGGAUAUUUCACUGAACGAUUGGCCAUGUAAAUUGUCAUUCUUGUAGCCUUCAACUUUGUAAUAUUGAGCUUUUGAUAAAAUGAGAAUGGCAUUAGAUUUAUGCUAGCCCCAGAAUCAGCUAUAGCGUAAGUCUUCAUAUUAUACCCAAAUUUACAUGGAUGAGUGAGGCAUCCAGGAUCUCCCAUCUUCUUUGGUAACUCUCCCAUAAUUACUUUAGAACUCUGCUUACUUAGAAUUACCUUGGAAUCCUUCUCUAGCUGUUGGCGAGUAUUGAUUAAAUCUUGAAAAAACUUGGCAUACUCGGGAACUUUAGAUAACGAAUCAAUGAAAGGGGUAUUUAUGUGAAUACCCUUCACUUGUUGUGUAAACUUCAUAUGCUCCUGUUCUAGUGGAUGGGUAUUGGCUUGGGUACGAAACGGUAAAGGAGGACAAUAAGUGGGAACAUUAUCUAAAUUUUUCCUAUUAGACCUAUCCCACAUCGUGAAAAUUGAAUCCCCACGUCGUGGUAUCAGUUUUUUCAGCAAGUUUACGCUCUUUGAGUUUGGACUUCUUUGGCUUUGGUUCAGACUGAGGUGGAUCGACUUCCACUGCUUCAAAGAACUCAGAAAUUGUAUCCUCUUCGGUUUCUAUUACCAUGGCAUGUGAUUAGGGCUUUUUCCCUUGGAUUUUUGGAGAUAAUUUAUCUUAUACUAGAGUAGUUAGUUGACCUAGUUGGACUUCAAUAUUUUAGAUCGAUGCUUGGUCACUUCGUAGCAAGGCUUGUUGUUCCUUCAUGAUAUUCCGAUGUUCCCUUAUCACUGCAUCUUUUUCAUCGUACCUUUUCUUGGAAACCUCCAUAAAUCUAUGUAACAUAGAUUCAAGAUCAACUUUUUUCUCGGGAGGUGGUUGUUCUUUUUCGUAGAAGCCUCGGUCAAUCUGUCUAUACUUCUCUUCUUUUUGCUUCUUGUAUUUGUUAUAUGGUAACCACUCCCUUUUUGGUUUCCUCCAAUUUUCAACAUACUAGUCUCCACUUGAGUAGCAAACUUGUGCCUUUUUAUUUCCAAGUUCAUCCAAGUGGCUAUCUUUUAUUAAGUGUGGAUCAUUGCACCUUUCACAACCAACUCUAAUUGCAUGAAUUGAUUGGUCCAUUUUGGUCAUUCUUCUAUCCAUGGUAUCAAGCAUGGCUAGUACAGUAGCUAUGUCUUCAGAAUUUACUCCCCUAAUUCCUUUGGCUUCGUCAUGUAUUGGAUUAUGGUAUUCACGAGAAUGCUUUGAGAAUUCUUCAAUCAACUCCUUUACUUCACCCAAAUUUUUCUUAGUAAGUGGUCCUUGAGAAUCAAGGAGUUGCCUUGUCAUGACAUUCACCCCGUCAUAAAAGAUACACUUCUUGUUGUAUGUUAAGGUCAUUUUGAAGGCAGAUUCUAAUAACCCUUUAUAACGCUCCCAUUCCACAUAAAGUGACUCAUGCAUUUUUGCCCAACUAGUAAUUGCACUGGGUGGAAGUGCUUUCAACCAGUCUCUCGUAGCUCCUUUAAAAGUAAUGGGAAACAUCCUUAACAGCGUAGUCUCUCUUCGAACAUUCGGGACAUUGAAAUAAUCCGCAAUGUCUUUGACUUCAUCUAAAUGCUUAUAAGCAUCCACAAGGUUCUGCCCAUAAAAUGGUACAUCCUUAAGUGUAGUAAGAAUGCGCCCUUUCAUCUCGAAUGUUGCAAUGGUAGGAAGUAUAGCUUAUACUAAACCAGGACCAACAUCGUCUCUUAUAUGUUGUUUGUAUGCCCCCGUGGAGAUAUCCGCAAUGUUUGCCAUUUUGUUUUAUGUCUCGUCUCCGUGUUCGCUUUUCUGUAAUUCGAAUUCAGGUUCGGACUCGUAUUCGGAUUCUUGUGGACUAGGUAUUUGAUGAUGAUCUUCAAUUUUACUUUUGUCCUUCGAAGAUGUACUUAACUCUCCCACGUUCUUCACUUUCUUCUUUCCAAAUACUGAUUUAAGGUCGUUAAAUGGUAAGCUCUUUAGUGGUUGGUAUUUCUUCAUGUUUUUAUAUGUCUUUUUGUGAAGGGCCAACUCUUGAUCUUUAAGUGGUGGUACCAAAGGCUUGUUGGAGCCUUUGGUCAUGAACUACUGCAAAAUAAACAAAAAUAAAAACAUAAAUCUGAACAAAAACUAAAAAUUAAAAAUACUAAAAAUAUCAUCCUAAUUGAACCCAUGUCAUGUACUUAAGGUCCACGUCGUGGUCUUAGAUUUGAAACAAAAAUUAAUGCAUAAAAUUAACUUUUUGCAGGUUUUACCCCACAAAAAGGGUCGAUUAACUUAAAGCAAAUAAAUUAGUGUUGGGCUUAUAAUGUUGCGUCAUGGGCUUGGUCCUUAGCCCAGUUUUGGUUGUCGGUUUGGGCCUGUCCAACCGUGCAUGUUUUUCUUCUAGGGUUUUAGUAUUUAAGGUGCAUGCAUGCAUCUUUAUUAGUAACACUUUGAUUAUUUUUCUCUCAUAAGUAUUGUAAACCCCAGCUCGCCUCUAUAGUGGAAGUUCUUCAUCGAGCUCUGCUGAGGCGUGACUAUAUUUGAAUCAUAAGCCUUGCUUUGAUUCUAUUCUAUGUUUUUAAUCCUAUUGUGUUUGUUUUGUUUGUUCAUCGUCUUUAUACCUGUGGAAGAUCUAAACGAUCUGAGUUUUAUUCUCAUCAAUUGGUAUCAGAGCAGGAGGUUGUGUAAUUCAUACACAUUUCUUCUGUUGAAGAAGUAAUUAGGGUUUUUCCGCAUUGAUUGAUAUUAAUUGAGCCGUCAUUCCAUAUUGGCGAUCUCAUUAAUUGUCGAUCUUAUUCUAAUGAAAAAUUACAAGUUUGAUCUUAAAUAGGUAAUCGAUCAAACAUCAUCACAAUGUCCAUGGAUGAUUCACAAACAAAUCCAAUCAACAUCUCCAACAACAUUGGUUCGACAACAAGGAUUCCAGUCUUGUAUACUCAGGACUAUGAACUUUGGACGCACCACUUUGAAGAUUAUGUGAUCGGCUUAGAAGAUAAUGGGUACUUGAUCUAGGUACCUAUCACAGUUGGCCCGUUUGCUCACUCAAGCACCUAAAAUAUUGUCAAAACUCAAAAGGAGUACAAUCAGCUUGUGAAUGAUGUGAAAGAUAUUCCUCAAGACGAGAAGGAGAAGUUUCAAUGCAACAUCAAGGCCUUAAGAAUAAUUAGGUUUGCUUUGCAGUCAGAUACGUUUCGUUUGGUGAGUUAUUGCACUACAGCUAAAGAGAUAUGGGACAGGUUGAAAGAAUUGUAUUCCACUGAGGAAGAUCUGGAACAUUCUAUUCAGACCCAAAGAGAAACUUGUUCAGGCUUUUGAUCAGUUCAAUCAUCUUUUAAGUAAGGUGAUAAUACAUGGGAUCGAAAGGAAGGUUAUAGAACAGAAUGUUACCUUCAUGAAUGGUCUUAGACCCGAAUGGAUGGCAGUCGUAUCCUUAGUAAAUGCACACAAAUAGUUUAAAUCAUACUCUCUAGCAAAACUGGUUGGAAUCCUGAAGUCCCAUGAAAGUGCUCUGUAAAAAGAAGCAAACGUGGAUUCUAGUUUAGGUUCAUUAGCCCUUGUUUCAAAUGGGAAAAGUGUUGUCGAAGAAGAAGAUGAAUUGGAUCUUGCUGACUACGAUCUAACCGUUGAAGAAUAUGCCCUAAUGGUUUCCAACCCUAGAAAGUUCAUCAAAAUAAAAUUCCCAGCCAACAAGAACCGAAACUAGUAAGGAAGUUACAGUUCUGAAAAGGUGAAUGAGGAAUCGAAGAUAGGAUCCAAGUCAGGGGAAUCCAUGAAAGAGGCGAAGAUCAGUGGCGUCUCACGAUUUGAUUGUCACUAUUGUGGAGGCAAAAAUCAUUUUGCCAAGGAUUGUAUGUUGAAGAAACAGGCAUAAAAGAUAGACGAGGAUGAUGAGGAAGAGAGCCUCCUGAGAUGGUUGGAGGAAAUCAAGAAAUGAAAAUCAUCAGCUAACAAUAAAACCAUGAAUGCUUUCAUUGUACAGGAUACAAGUAACAAUGAUGAAUUCGGUGGAGUGGAAGUGUGGUCCACGGAUUCAGAGGACGAAGAAGUAAGAAAACCAACUCAUGGAAAGGCGAUGCUAGUGAAAGAAGAAUAUACUGCAGGAAGGUGUUUGAUGGUGGUAGAAGGAGUAUCUCAGAUGAGGGGAUAUGCAACAGAUGGUAGGCUGGAAGAAGAGAAGGAGCGAGAGGACAGGUCUUUUGCUGCGAAAACUAUCAGUGCACAGAUCAACGAAUGUGAUGAGUUGAUCAAGAAGCUACAAAAUAUUCUCACUUCUCUGAAAAUACCUAUUACUAACUAUGGAAAGGAACUGAAUAGCUUAAAAUCAAAAAUUUCUAGUGUAAGUAGUAGUCUCACCCAAACUUGUGUCACAAACUCUAACCUGACUGAUCAAAUUAGCAAGAUAUCGUCGAAGAGUGAGGAAAGGAGGAUGUGGAUUGAGUAGAAGGAGAAAGAGUUAAUUAGAUCUAAGGAUAAAUCUAUCUAUUUACAACGAGACAAUCUUAAGCUUCUAAAACAGCAAAAUGUUUUUUGUUUAAUUGCUAAGAGACUUUAUUUUAAUAUCGCUCAAUUGCAUCUCAAUUGUGAAAUAGGAAAGAAGAUACAUUGCAUGAUUUUACCCUUCCUUGAGUUAAAAUAGGAUGAAGUCGAUGCCGAAGCUUACAACUGUGAAAAUGUUGUAUCUUCUGAUGAAGUCUCUCCUGCCUACAAAAUUGGUCUUGACAAAAUAGAGUCCUAUAUAAAGACCAAAGACCAUAAAGACAUUCUUAGAAUCUAUUAGACGAAAAUGAGAGAUUGAAGUUAAGAACCGAAACUGUACAGAAGUUUGACUCAUUGAAUGCCAAACUAAGUUCAAAAAAUAAAAUUGAUGUUGAAAAUGCAUCUGAACUUACUGAGGAUGAAGAUAUGAGUGAAAUCUCUGUAGAGGAUGUGAUGGACUGCUCUGAGUUUGUCAAAAGCGAACCCGAAACUCACAAAAAUUUGACUUCUGAAAACUCCAUUGAGUUCCCCCAUUCAUCGAAAGACAAGACCAAAAUUCUCAAGGCAAAGGUUGUUGUGUAUCAAAAGGUUCAAACCACUCCCAAUGAGGUUUACACAGUUCAAGGAGUCACUCCUCAACAGACAGCAGAACUGACAACUAUGGUAGAAGAAGAUACCGUAGUUGGAUGUGAAGAAUUCUUCUGGUCAGCACCCAUAGAUAACGCUAAUGAAACAAAAGGACUAUCUCAGAAAACCUCAUGGAGAGUGAAGGGUAGGUACGUGCUAAAACCACUCAAUGAACCUGCAAGAUAUAAUGUGCCAAGCACAAGUGGAACCAAAACAUCUAUAGGUAAACCAGUGAGUGAGACAUCUUCAUCAAUGAGCGAAUGCCAUGCUCAAAUUCCAAAGAAAAAGGCAAACAUUCAUAAAAAUCCAAAACACGUGGCAGAAUGAAAACACCAACGAAAUCUAAGAUACAAUAAGAAUCUCUCAGAAAGAAAACAGUUUUGGAGAUCUCAAAAUCCUUAUUAUGUCAGGAAUGAAAAACGCAUAAGUCUCGAGAAGAAUCAAGAAGAAACCGACAGGAAGGUUUCGUUCCUUGGAAUGAAAGGUACCGAAAGGAAAGUUUCGGUUCGCAGCAGGUAAGGAACUGAAAGGAAGGUUUCCGUCCACUGUAGGUAAGGAAUUGAAAGGAAGGUUUCUGUCCGACGCAAACAAACAACCGAAAGGAGAGCUUCGGUCCUCAGAGAGUAGGCAACCGAAAGGAUGGGUUCGGAUCGAUGAUUGUUAUUCUCAAAUAAGAAAGAAUAACAAUCAUCCAUCCAAUGUAACUUCUAAACCCAACUCUUCUCAUUUUAAUUCUUAUCCUUCAAAAGAUUUAAAGGGGAAAGGAAAGCUCCUUCUAGAAGAUAACAGAUGCGCAAAAGAGAUCAAAAAGAAUGCAGACGUCAAAACCUCAAACCCUACGUAUAAUGAAUCUAAGCCAAACAAAAUUAAAGUUUUCACGAUAAAAAGAAAAGAUGAAACAACUUUAAUUAAAAGAAAUUAUUUGGUUGAUAUUUCUCUUGCUAUUCCCUGUCCUGUAAAAGGCUCACAAGGACCCAAGAAACUUUGGGUUCCUAAAUCUGCUUAAUAUUUUGCAGGAUAUUCGUGAUGAGAAGUUUGACAAAGAAUGGUAUAUUGAUAGUGGUUGCUCGCGUCACAUGACAGGAAGAAAGGAAGAACUGAGGGAGUUUCAAUCUCUCAAGAAUGUUGGAAUCGUGAAGUACGGCAACAACUCGUUUGGGACUAUCAAAGGCUACGGAAUGAUUACGAAUGGUGAUUUCUCAAUAAGAAAGGUCGCAUACGUUGAAGGAUUGCAGCACAACCUUAUCAGUGUAUCCCAGCUUGUGGUUGGGACCGGAUUGAAAGUCUCGUUUGAUGAUGAAGGCUCGGAGAUUGUUGAGAAGAAGUCAAAUAACAUUCUGUUCAAAUUGAAGCGAAAAGGGGAAAUGUACCCUUUAAACCUCAAUCGAAUUCGAGGGAAACUAGCAGUCUGUUUGCUAACAAAGGCCCACUCAGACGAAAGUUGGCUAUGGCAUCGAAGACUCUCUGAUCUUAACUUCGAGGAUAUCAACAAGCUUGUUUUGGGAGUUCAUGUUUGAGGUCCUCUAGUUCUUAAAUUCGACAAAGAACAUUUAUGCACAGCCUGUAAAAUGGGAAAGCAGAGUAGACAAAGUCAUCCCUCUAUUAUCAAUACAAAGGUGAUAGAACCAUUGGAGCUAUUUCAUAUCGAUCUGUGUGGCCCCUCCUAUAUUGAAAGUAUUGGUGGGAACAAGUAUAUUCUUAUCAUAAUGGACGACUUCUCUCGGUUCACAUGGGUGUUUUUCUGGAAGCAAAAUUCAGAAGCUACUCCUAAGUUCAAGCUCUUCAUAAAGCAAGUUGAGGUUCAACUGAGGAAAGUUGUUCGUAACGUAAGAAGUGACAAUGGCUUGGAAUUAAAGAACAAAGAUUUCAAAGAUUUUCUUGUUGAGAUGGGAAUGACUCAUAAUUUCUCAGCUCCAUAUACUCCACAGCAGAAUGGAAUCAUGGAAAGGUGAAAUCUAUCUCUAUGUGAGGCAGCUCGAACGAUGUUAUGCUUCGCUUCCUUGCCUUUAUAUUUUUGGGCUGAUGCUAUUGCUGCUGCUUGUUAUACUAAGAACAAAUCAUAUCUAAACAAGCGAUUCUCUAUCACUCCUUACGAGAUCUUGAACAAUCGCAAACCGAAUGUGAAAUUUUUUCAUGUGUUUGGUUCAAGAUGCUUCGUCUUCAACUCUAAAGUGAAUCGAAACAAGUUUGAUGCUAAGGCUGAUGAAGGAAUAUUUUUAGGUUACUCCCUGCACUCUAAGGCAUAUAGAGCUCUAAACAAGCGCUCUAAGAAGAUUCAAGAAACAUACUAUGUCACUUUUGACGAUAGCUAUGUUAAUAAGAUGAAGACAACUGAAGGUGAAAUGCAGGAAAUCUUUCCAAAGACCAGUCAAGUUACAACUUCUAUCUCAAAUCUUUUCGAGCAAUAUAUGGUUCUUUUUGAUGAGCCUCAAAUGGCAAUCGAUUCUAAAUCGAAGGCGAAAGACAACAAAGUUGAUAGUCUAAACCAAAUCAUUAACGAUGUUGCACAGAAGAUGGCUGCUGAUCAACCUAAAGCAACCAAGAGGCCAGACUUAAACGAACCUUCAAAUGACCGUCCUUCUGUCCAGGGGAGGGUUCGUCUCUGCCAAAAGAUCAAGGUCCUUUAUUCCAGGGGGAGAAUUCAAUGUCACAAUCAUCAAUCUAAACUGAAAGUCCAAACAAAGGGGAACAUUCUGAUCCAGAUACUAAACUGGUGUCAUCAUUCGAGGGGGAGAACACACACGUUAAUGAUCAUGACAUGCUAUCAGAAUUGGAAGAAGAAAUUAAUGCAGAACUGGAACCCUCUUGUGAUCCAAAUUACCCACCACUUAUUAAAUGGACCAAAGAUCAUCCGCAAAGUCAAAUCAUUAGGGAAUCUUCGGAAAAUGUGUUAACUCGAUUACAGAUCAAAGCAAAACAAGUUGCACUCUUCUCUCAAGUAGAAUUUUGCAUGUUCAAAUCCUUUGUCUCGAUAGUUGAAUCGAAGACUAUGAAUUCGGCUCUUGAUCAUUCUGAUUGGGUUCAAGCCAUGCAAGAUGAGUUGAAUGAGUUUGAAAGAAACAAAGUAUGGCGCCUUAUUUCAACACCAAAGUAUGCUUUAGUUGUAGGUCUCAAAUGGGUAUUUAGAAAUAAGAUGGAUAAGGAGGGGAAUGUGAUUCGUAACAAGGCUCGGUUGGAUGUAAAAGGAAAUUGUCAAGAAGAAGGUAUCGAUUAUGAAGAGACCUUUGCUCCUGUUGCAAGAUUAGAGUCCAUUCGUAUCUUUCUUGCUUAUGCUGCACACAAAAACUUUGAAGUCUAUCAGAUCGACAUAAAGUGUGCCUUUCUCAACAGAGUACUUGAAGAAACUGUGUACGUUGAGCAACCGCCAGGCUUCGUCAACGAGAAGUACCCAAAUCACUAUUACAUACUUGACAAAGCGGUAUAUGGCUUAAAUCAGGCUCCUAGAGCAUGGUAUGAAACUCUCACUCAAUUCUUAAAAAUUUCUAAAUUUAAACAAGGUUCGGUUGACCCAACCUUCUUUCGUAAGAUAGAGGGUAACCACCUUAUGAUAGUCCAAAUUUAUGUUGAUUACAUCAUCUUCGGCUCCACGAAUCCCAGCUUAACAGCUAAAUUCAGGAAGUUGAUGGAAACUAAAUUUAAGAUGAGCUCAAUGGGUCCAAUUAACUUUUUCCUUGACUUAAACAUUAGACAGGGACCCGAAGGCAUUUUUAACAAUCAGGAGGCAUACACCAAGACACUGCUUGCUAAGUUUGGCAUGUUGGGAGACUCCAAAGUGAAAGUUCCAAUGGCUUUUGGGACAAAUCUUACAUCUUUGUUGGAGAAGCCAGCCGCUGACAUAACGCUCUAUCGACAAAUGAUUGGGUCAUUAAUGUAUCUAACAGCAAGCAGACCUGACAUCAUGUUCUCAGUCUGCUACUGUGCUAGAUUCCAGGCUAACACACGCAAACCUCACAUGCUAGCCGUGAGAAUAUUUUUUUGCUAGCUGAAGCGAACCUCCUCUCUCGGUCUAUGGUAUCCAGCAAACUCAUGAUUCUUUGUCCAACCCUUCUCUAAUGCUGACUUAGGUGGUUGUGGAUUGGAUCGCAAAAGCACCACUAGAGGAUGCCAAUUUCUCAAUGGAAAAUUGGUCAGCUGGCAAUCAAAGAAAGAAACCUGUGUUUCUCUCUCCACUGCAGAAGCUGAAUACAUUGCUGACGCUUCAUACACAUCACAAGUUGUAUGCAUACAGAGUCAAAUUAGAGAUUAUGGGCUAAACAUGAAGAAAAUCCCACUAUAUUGCGACUCUGAAAGUGCAAUUAGGAUUUGUCAUAACCUGGUGCAACACUCAAAGACAAAGCCCAUAGCACUGAGGUAUCACUUCAUCAAAGAUCAUGUGGAAGAUGGCAACGUAGAAAUUCACUUCGUUAGGACGACUGAUCAACUGGAAGAUAUAUUCACCAAGGCUUUACCUGAAGCAAGUUUCAACAAAAUUUUACAAGGCCUAGGAAUGAUGGAAGCAGAAUCAGUACCAAAGUCACCUUCGCUUCAAUAAAGGUAUGAAGAGAAAUAGAGCGAACCAAAAUGAACCGAACGCUCGGUCUAUUUCGGGUUCAGUUCAACCAAGAACCGAAAUGAACCGAACGCUCGGUCUAUUUCGGGUUCGGCUGUACUGAACUCGUUCGUUUGUUUUUCAUCACAAGGCAUUUUAAGUGUAUUCACUUGUACAUUUUUUUUAAAUACUCUUUUAUGCUUCUUUUAUUUUUUUUACAUAAAAUCCAAAAAUAUUUUUUUAAUUUUAUUUAAAAUUUUCACAAACUACAAAAAUAUCAUUUAUUUUAUUUUAUUUUCAUCUAUUGUUUUUUUAUAAGUGUUAUUCUCGAUGUUGAAGCUCAAGUAGGUAUAUUCUCUUUUCUAUAAAUUAGUUAGGUGUCCUAGAAGCAUGUUGCUGCAUGUUGACUAAAGCCUCUACAGAUUUUGAGUGAAGCCUUAAUAACAUGAUAUAUACAAAUCAUGUUUUCCCAAACUAGGCUAUUACUUUCACUCUAAUCAUGAGCUACCUUAGUCUUCCCAAAUUGAGCUUAGAGUUUUCUACUUGGUCCUUCUUUUAUAGCAGAUGUACAUUUGCUUCUUAUACCACCUACAACAUUUUUCUUCAUCUCACUUCAUCUCACUCAUUUAACCCUUGAGACUCUCAGCAUUUACCACUGAGUUUUAUGGUUAUACAAAAUUCUGUGUUAAUGAGCUUAGUUUUGUGUCACUACGUACUAAGUGAAACCCACAAUUCAACACCUUUAAUGAAUUGACGGUAUACGAUCACUAUGCUACAAUUCUUGAAUGAAAUCAAUUAUUUUAGUGAUCCUCCUGAAAAUGUCUUUUACCAAGACUUUUCUUCCCCAAGGAUCUACUUAAGUUCUUUUUAAGAUUUCAUAUUUGUCAACAAGUCACUGAAAAUUUUACCUACCUACUUGUUUAACAGGCCACAUUGGUCUCACAAGUACUUCCUUCAGUUUCAGCCUUAUAUCGAGUAUCAAAAUCAUGAAUUGAAGCGAAAAGCCACCCUUUAUAGCCCUAAUUAAAAAGAUGCCUUUCAAUACUUCUUAAAAAGUACUUGAUCGUUAUUUUAUCGGAAGCCACACAAGCACUUUGAAGUCUCUCUAGACUAUGAAGGAAGAGAUUUGUGCCCAGAAUCAAUUGUUUUAUGUCUUUCCAAGACAUCACAAAUUAUUAGAAAAGGUUUGCUUUAUUUCUUUAUCAUUCACACUCUAUGCAUGAAAAUCUUUGAUUUUCCAAAAUCUGGUUCUAUUAACGAUGAUAUAAUUGUUACAGCUUCGUUUCUAAAGUAUUCCACUGCUCGAUAAAGACAAAGGCGGUGACGAUUUAUGUGAAAUUUGUGGGUGACGUUUGGGAUAAAGUUCAGGCUGAGUCAGCAGUAAUCCAAUCGUUUUAAUGAUUUGAAAAAGGCACUUUUUAUGGAAAGGCAUGUAAAAAGGAAACGUUCUUUCUCUUUCCUAUAUCAUCAUUGGGCAUGCCAACUGUCCACUCCGUCAUCAUGCACGGUUUUCAAAUUAAUCCAAGAUAUCAGCCGGAUUUUUCUCUCUACUACUUGUAUGUAUAAAAGUUUUGGCACGCUCCACUUUACUCUUUUAUCACUUACAAAUUCUCUCAAAGAAAAAGGGUGAUUUCUUUCAUUGUUCACCUUCUUCCUCUCAAAGCUUCAACAAUGGCAGAAUCCUCUUCAGUUCAAGACACAUAUGUUCACUCCAACCUUCUCACCAUCAAACCUCAACAAAACCUCAUCAUAGACCUUACUCCCUUCAUCUAUGAACCCUACAUGUUGUAUUUCGUCGAAUGUCUCAAGUACUCGCCUCUUGUCGACGCUCUGUCAAAGGUCGAAGGCGUUCCCAUGUCCUGCCUCUCACACAUCUAUUCAACUUCUUACUACGACAAGGUUGCUGAGAGGAUUCACUUUGAAACGGGUGGAGGGAUAGCGACCGCAAAAGUCGAUAAACUAAUUUCUGAGGCUCGUCUCUUUUUAGAUUCUUUGCAAGAUGCUGCUCAAAAGAACUCUCAGACAGUGAACGCUUCAGUUGAUAAUCUUCAGCGUUCUCUUCAAGCUGAGAGAUCUAAUCUUGAAGCCGCUUGUGACAUCCCCAAAAUCUCGGCCAGAAAAGACUGAUUUUCAUUUAUGCUUUUAAAUAUUUUCAGAGUAAAUCCUUUUGAUUUGAAAGAGUUGCGGAAUUUGUUCCCAAAAACAAAACAUGAUAAAACAAUGUUUACCGAAGCAUUUCAUAAAAGAAAUGUAUUUUCAUUAUAAUCAAAACUCGGGGUGUCAUGUUCCGAUACAGACCAAUAAGAAUAAACGAAUACAUUACAAGUCAUAUAACAAAUAUAAACAUAUGCAGACUUGUAAACAAAACAACUUGAUGGUUCAUCCAUCUCAUGCCCUUCCGCCACUACCUGUAAUACAAUUUAAAACUGAGUGGGUCAGGCUUGGGAGCCUGGUGAGCAUAUAGGGUUUUCAACCCACAAUAAAUAUCAUAUUUAAUUUUCACCAACCAACAAUAACCCAAUUACCCAUUCCCGUUAUUCUCACUUUAAGGUCCCUAAUUCAACUAACAUAAGGGACCUAGUCUAAGAAUAUUUCAUCGGGGCGACAACACAUGCUUCGGGGGUACCUCAGCAAUAUAAGUCAAAUAAGGCAACCAUGAGGGGGAUGGAGUACAGCGAAUGAACACCCAAGUUCAUUAACACCUACAGGUGGCGAACCUGCUAAUGUUUCCACAAGACUGUCUAGAAUAGCCAGUGGUCGUCAUCUAAACUCCGCUAGAUGACUCAAUCAAACAACAACGAGGCCUCUCAUCUGUUUAUUACACACCAACUGUCUACCCAUGUUCUACCCAACAUAUUAGUAGAUAAAAAUAUACAUUUGUAUACAUAGUUUAAAGAAAACCUGUAUAGCAUGCUUUAAUCAACACAUAUAUCACAUAACAGAUGAGGCACACACACACAUAACACAUAUCUCAUAAAGAAAUAAGCAGAUCUAUAAGAUAGAAGAGAGUGAAUACUCAUUCACACAUAACACAACCAAAUAUAUACACAUAGCACGUAUUUUUAUAUAAAAUACUUCGUAUUAUUGUAUUAGAAGAAAUAACUACACACUCACUUGAUCAGAAGAUGAUCGGACAGCACUACGGCUUAUAGAAGUAGUAAUCCACAGCAGAUCUGGAAGAUCUUCUCGAAAAUCGAACUUCUCGCGGGCAGAGCUUCGACUCGGGAACCGCACUUUUCGGGAUCUUCGGGAUCUCGGGACUUGCCUCGGGGCUAGAGUAUGAUACCGGGNNNNNNNNNNNNNNNNNNNNNNNNNNNNNNNNNNNNNNNNNNNNNNNNNNNNNNNNNNNNNNNNNNNNNNNNNNNNNNNNNNNNNNNNNNNNNNNNNNNNNNNNNNNNNNNNNNNNNNNNNNNNNNNNNNNNNNNNNNNNNNNNNNNNNNNNNNNNNNNNNNNNNNNNNNNNNNNNNNNNNNNNNNNNNNNNNNNNNNNNNNNNNNNNNNNNNNNNNNNNNNNNNNNNNNNNNNNNNNNNNNNNNNNNNNNNNNNNNNNNNNNNNNNNNNNNNNNNNNNNNNNNNNNNNNNNNNNNNNNNNNNNNNNNNNNNNNNNNNNNNNNNNNNNNNNNNNNNNNNNNNNNNNNNNNNNNNNNNNNNNNNNNNNNNNNNNNNNNNNNNNNNNNNNNNNNNNNNNNNNNNNNNNNNNNNNNNNNNNNNNNNNNNNNNNNNNNNNNNNNNNNNNNNNNNNNNNNNNNNNNNNNNNNNNNNNNNNNNNNNNNNNNNNNNNNNNNNNNNNNNNNNNNNNNNNNNNNNNNNNNNNNNNNNNNNNNNNNNNNNNNNNNNNNNNNNNNNNNNNNNNNNNNNNNNNNNNNNNNNNNNNNNNNNNNNNNNNNNNNNNNNNNNNNNNNNNNNNNNNNNNNNNNNNNNNNNNNNNNNNNNNNNNNNNNNNNNNNNNNNNNNNNNNNNNNNNNNNNNNNCAUUCCUUAUAUCUCCGGAAUCCUUGUUUCGACCACUACAACUUUAUGAAAAGAUAUCGGGCUUAUCUCACACUUUAAUUUUGACGCUUAUUUUUAUUCUUAAUUAAUCAAACCACAUAAUUAAGCAAUUAAGCACAAAACACAUAAUACUCAAAUAAUAAAAUCUUAUUAUUUCAAAACGGGUUACAAAGGUUAACUUAGACUAUUACAUUGCUAAAAAUGGCAAGCCCGGAAACACAGGCGUUACACCGCUCAUCAGGCCAUUGAAGCUGCCAAUGCCACCCUCCACGAUAAUGUCAAUGAUCGUCUGACUCAACUAGAAGCAGAUUUGGAUGUCAAAAAUCGCAUCAUGGAUGAGUUGGACAAACAAACAUCUCAGCUUAAAAUGCAAAACCUCAAGUUUCGCACUGCAACAACCGAGCUCAAUGACUUAAAGUCUGAAAGGGAGGUAAUUCGAAGCUUUGUUGGUGACGUUCAUUCGAUUUUACUUCAUCUUCUCGAUGCCCAUGAUCUCAUUCUGACCAUCACCAUCAGACGACAUUUGGCUGAAAAUCUAGGACCUGCAUUGCACAUCCUUAGUCGCAUUGAGAGUGUUCUGGUGACUGAUGUGCAGCCGAAACAAGGGGGAGAUAAGGUAAAGGCGAAAACUCAACCUCCUCCUAAACCUAAGUCAUCCACUGAACCGAAGGUUAAUGAAGCUUCGGUCAGUAAAAGAGAUAAGAAGAAAAAGAAGAUUGGUGAAGACGGCACUGAUGAUGAAGAUGGUGUUUUUGAAGAAAAUCCUGCUAAGCCAUUUCAGAAAACAAAAUCUUCUGAUAAAGAUCUUGAAGAAAAUUUCAAGAACCAAACGGAUGAGCUAGGGAAGUAGAGGAAAUAAAAGGAGCUCUUGGAGAAGAAGAAGUAUAUUUUUCCAAAAUUGAGUAUUGACUCGCUUCAAAGAAGCGCUAUAGACGAACCAAGCACACAUUGGCUCGAGCCUGUUAUGUCGUUAGGGCUUGAGAACUCAAAGGAUGAGUAGUUUGAUUUGUGAAUCACACGAAAGGCAUUCAUCUUUCACUGCUUCAACUCAACUGUUGCCAUCCCAUCUCCAGACUUGAAGGUGGAUCGGGAUUUGUAAGAGUUCUAUCUGGAGUUUGCUCAGCCCCAGUACUUGACUUGGAGUUCGCAGAAGAUCACAACUGUCAAGGUACUAAAGCCCUAUACAGCAGGGAAGUUUGUUAACGUGAAAUUUAAAUUGACUCGAGGCUCUGAAGGCUUGGUUCAUAAUUUCUCUCUUGCUGAUCUACCAAACCUCAACCCCCACGACUGGAUACUCCUCAACAACAUCUUACUGUCAAAUCCUCAGGAGUAUCAGCCUAUCAUUGACCAUAUCAAGCGAAUGCUUGUCUACUACAUUCACGAAGUAGCAAAGAUGGAUCAAGAAAUCGCCUCAGCAAUUCACAAGCGAACCACGAUCAAACCAAUGAGAAGAGCUGGCGAUAUUAACUCAAUGGUCAAAGGCAAGAUUGACACAAACUACCACAUUGUGAUGUUUAUCAGGGGCGAAGGUCAAAAAUGCAUGUUCGCUCUUAUUGAUAAGCACCUGUUCUCAACCUCUUGCUUGGAGCACAUUUUGGAAAUCAUUCAGAGGUGUAUUCAGAACUCAGCAGCCGACAAGAAGAUGUUUAGUGAUAUGCUAAGAUGGUACAUUCAAUUUUGGCAGACUCUUCUUGCAAUCAUCCCUCGGCUGUUCAAGGUGGUGAAGACUAUGAAGCCUAUUGAAAGGAAAUGAUCUCUCGCCUCAUUUGACGCAAAGGGGGAGAUUGUUGGGCUUAUAGUGUUGCGUCAUGGGCUCAGUCCUUAGCCGAGUUUUGGUUGCCGGUUUGGGCCUGUCCAACCGUGCAUGUUUUUCUUCUAGGGUUUUAGUAUUUAAGGUGCAUGCAUGCAUCUUUAUUAGUAACGCUUUGAUUAUUUUUCUCUCACAAGUAUUGUUAACCCUAUCUCGCCUCUACAGUGGAAGUUCUUCAUCGAGCUCUAAUGCGGCGUGACUAUAUUUGAAUCAUAAGCCUUACUUCGAUUCUAUUUUGUGUUCUUAAUCCUAUUGUGUUUGUUUUGUUGGUUCAUCGUCUUUAUACCUGUGGAAGAUCUAAACGAUCUGAGUUUUAUUCUCAUCAAUUAACAAUCAAAUAAGUCGUUCCCCAAAAACGACGCCAAAAACUUGAUGCGUACAAAUAGCUAAAACCUAAUUUUACCAACUCUCCUACUACCUAUUCGAGUCAGGGCAGUGUACCACUCGCAAAUAGUAUAGCAUAAAAGUCGGGUAUCGAACACAUGGAACGUAAUAAAUUAUUUAACCUACUUACUAUUAAAUUAAUCUAAAAUUGUAACAAAAAUAAAAUGGGUUUUUAUAUAAUUUUGCAAGUUUAGAUGAACUUAAUUUAUCAACAACUAUUUAUUGAAAUUAUAAAAACACUUUUGUUAGUUUGAAUCCACUUUCCCUCAAUUGUUUAAAUAUUAAUUACGACAAUUCCCGUUGGUUACCAAUUAAUAUAUUAUUAGCAAUUCAAUUCCAAAUAUACUAAUAUUCAAUUAAUUCAUGUUGAGCUAUGCAUGGUCACACAUAAUUUAACAUAGAACCAAUUAUUAAAUAAGAUUGGAGCUACGUAAGAUUAAGUUAACAAAUACAGUUGUGGUCCGAAUAUGAGUUCUCCAACACAGUCAAAUUCAAUACUUCAAUUGCUUAUCUAAGAUUGGUUCGACCUUAGCUCUAAUAAUCUGAUGCUCACUAAAUUACUAGGUAGUCAAAUUCAUGCAGAUUCGUGGUCAUUAAAGUAAAAAAGAAUAUGAAUUAACGCAAUCUAGUAUAAAAUUGAGCAUGCUAGGUAUAAACAAUAAAACACAAGACAUUAACCUACUAGAAAAGUCUAAGUUAUUAUAAACAAACCAUGAAUUCCAAAUUCAUCUAACUAACACAAGCAGCUAGAUUUAGCUACUCAUCAAAGCAAUCACACUAACAAACUUCAUAGUUAAAGACAUAGUAAUAUACCAAACAAUCAAUAAACUAUGAUCUCCUUAUUCUUCCUUGGUUGAAAUUCUGGGUUUUCAGGCUUGUAAUCCUCUAAGAAAUGACUUUUGAAACUCUAUUCUUCCCAAAAACCAACCUUUAAACCUGUAAGUGUUAAAUAUACAUACAUACAUAUAUAUAUAUAUAUAUAUAUAUAUACUUGUCAUAAAAUUACAUUCCACGUCGUGGAAUAAGGCCACACAUUAUGGACUUAGAUGAAUCCUUAUCGGGCAAGGAUUUCGACAUAGUGCGUAUUCAUCUUCCAGAAUUUUCCUAUCCACAUCGUGUAAGUAAUAUCCACGACAUGGAUACAACUGUUUUCAUGGGUUUUCUUCUCUUUAGUUUUCCAAGCCUCCAAAGUUUCUUCUUUGCCACUUUGAGUCCUUAUUCUUCAAAUUGACUUAUUUUGGCUGCAAAAUACAAUCUAAUCUUAGAAGUACCAUUAUUCCAUGCAAAUAACCAAAAUAUGUAUAAAAUUGUAUUCAAAUAUUGCAUAAAAGUAUGUAUAAAUACGGCAAUAUCACGUCGAUCUAAGGGUUAAGGGCGGUUUUGAUGUAGAGGAAGCAUGUGAUCGUGUACGCCUCGAGGCAGUUGAAGCCUCAUGAGGCGAGUUACCCUACUCAUGACGUAGAACCGGGGGUGGUGGUGUUUGCCCUCAAAAUCUGGAGGCAUUACUUGUACGGAGUUCAGUGCACCAUCUUUACUGAUCAUAAAAAGUCUGAAGUAUUUGAUGGAUCAGCAGAACCUUAACAUGCGAUAGAGGAGAUGGUUGGACGUCCUAAAGGACUAUGAUUAUGAGAUUUUGUAGCAUCUAUGGAAUGCCAAUGUGGUGGCCGAUGCUUUAAACCGCAAGGCGGCGGGUUCUCUAAUCGGGAAUGUUUGUUUGAGAAUGACGGUAGUCUUUCCACUGUUGGAUAUGAUUAAGAAGGCUCAAGUGGAGGGUUUGAAGAAAGAGAAUUAGAAGAUAGAGUGGAUUUGGGGUCAGUUCCCCUUGUGUGUACGUGAUGGUCGGGGACUCUUGACACAGUGUGGUCGGGUAUGUGUACCGGUGACUAGGGGAGUGAGACAGAAGAUAUUAGAGGAGGUGCAUAAGUCUAAGUUCUCUAUAUAUCCAGGGCUACAAAGAUGUACAUGGAUCUGAGGUUGAGCUACUGGUGGCCCUACAUGAAGCCAGAGAUCGCAUGGUUCGUGGAGCGGUGCUUGACAUGCAGGAAGGUCAAGGCCAAAAAUUAAAGGCCUCAUAGCAAGGUUUAUCCGCUACCCACUCCUAUGUGGAAGUGGCAAGAGAUCACCAUGGACUUCAUCAUGAAGUUACCGAGGAUAGGGAGGGGGUGUGGAUUCCAUUUGGUUAAUUAUGGAUAGGUUGACUAAGAGUGCUCAUUUUAUUUUGAUCCCUGAGAGCAUUUCUACUGAGAAAUUAGAAGAUAUUUAUGUGUGAGAGGUAGUGGUCAGGAAUGGGGUGCCAGUGUUGGUGGUCUCUGACCGAGAUGUUUGAUUUACAUCCAUAUUUUCAAGGAAGUUCCAUAAGGAACUGGACACACAGUUACACUUCAGCACUGCAUACUACCCCCAAAUAGACGGUCAGAGCGAGCGGAUGAUCCAGAUGCUCGGGGAUAUGUUGCGGGCAUGCAUAUUGGAUUUUAGAGGGAGUUAGGAUACAUACCUCCCACUAGCAUAAUUUUCAUAUAACAAUAGUUAUCAUGCUAGCAUCGACCGACCCUCGUUUGAGAUGUUGUAUGGUCAGAGGUGCAAGAAUCCCAUCUGUUAGGACGAGGUAGGGUGCCGAGUCAUGGGAAACACCAAAUUGGUGCUCAAGAUUACUGACUUGAUUCAAUAGGUGUGCGACAGGUUGUGAGUCACGCAUAGCCGCCAAAAAAUUUAUGUUGAUCGGCUUCUCUUGGAUCUCGAGUUUUAGAUAAGGGACUUCUUGUUGCUGAAAGUGUCACCAUGGAAGAGUGUCAUUAGGUUUCGGAAUAGGAGUAAGUUAGCAGACCGAUUUAUUGGUCCGUUUAGGAUUACUACCCGGUGGGCAAGGUGACAUACCGUUUGGACCUGUCGGACGAGCUUAGCCAGUUUUACAACACCUUCAAUGUGUCUCAGUUUGGAAGUGUGUCACUGAUGAGACUGGGGUUAUUUCCUUGAGCAACAUUCAAGUGGAUAAGAGCCUGAACUACAUUGAGAGGGACAUUGCAGUUUUGGAUCGGAAAACUAAGGUACUACAUAACAAAAAGGUGAAGCUAGUGAAGGUACAAUGGUAGCACAAGAAAGGCUCGGAAUGGACAUAGGAGUCGGAUGAUGAGAUGUGAUAGCAUUACCCGGACCUUUUCGCGUCAACAUACUUCGAGGACGAAGUCUACUUCAAGUGGGGGAGAUUUUUAAUGCUUGGUCCAUGUAUUGUUUACUUUUCAAUUUGUUUGAGUUUUAGACUGGAACUUGACGAGUUGGCAAGCUCCAACUCUUUGUGUAGGUAUUCUUUUGGACGCGGGUUUAAGGAAUCAACUCGACGAGUUGGGGAUCCCCAACUCAACGAGUAGACUCUACAAAGAAAAACCCUAAAUUUCAGGGCUUGUACCCUAUUUAAAGGCCUUAAGCCUCGUUAGUAGCCUCAUUUAUCGCCCCCAUCAUCCAGAGAAACCCUAGUUCACUCAUUUCCUGUCAUUGUGUGUGUGAGAGAGAGAGCUUGGAGAGUGACUUUUGGUGCUCUUUUGAAAGGAACUUGAAGCUUGAAGAGAUUAGAUUGAGUAGAAGGCAGUAGAUCCGGGAUUUCCUCCAGUGUUGCAGCUACAUUGAGGUAUAAAGUCAAAACCUUGGCCUUUUAUUGCUUAGAUCUUCUUCUAUGAAAGUUUAUGGAUAUUAUUAGCCUAGUUUAGGACUAUUCUUGGAUUUGAGCAUGAUAUGAAGAUUUGGCUUUAGAUCUGGACAUCUCAGGGCCUUUGUGGACUUAAAGUUGCCAACUUUAUCAAGACUUGGCUCUCCUUCAUGCUCUAGGAUCCUUGAUAAGCUUGUUUAAGUGUUUAUGUCCCUUUGAUGCCUUACACGGAUGUAAAGUUAGCAACUUUAUGUGGUAUCUUAACCCUAUGGGACUGGAUCUAUAGUUUGGGGCAUCAGAUUCAACUGAAAAGGGCUGAAUAGGUUAAGACUGGGAAAACUCAAAGAGUUGCCCUGGUAACUUGAUAAGUUGGAUCGGGUUUCCCUGCCUUCAAGAUACUGAGUGAACUCGGCGAGUUAAUGAAACAACUCAGCGAGUUGGCUAGGGCUUUUUCUAGGUUGUCUGAACACUGAAGGAACUCGACGAGUUGCUAGAUGCACUCGACGAGUUGGGUCAACAUGGACUAUUGACCUAGACUGCUAACUUUGACUUGGACCAGGGUUGACCAAGUUUGACUUCAAGGGUAUCAUUGUUAAUUUGGGGUUUUGUUGAAGUUAGUUGCAGGGUGGUUGUAGGCAGUUGAGCUCGAAGUUGUGAGUUGGAAUUUGAUUUAACCGGUUCAAUAAUUCUUGAGAGGUGAGUCUCCUCACCAUACCAAUGGGUCGAAGGCACCAAGGCCGACCCAUUAUGUGAUAUAUGGAUUGCUAGUGGAUUAUGUGUUAUGUUGGUAUGACAUUUGAAUGGAAGACCCCAUGGGGGCAUCCCAUGGCAGUAGAUUAAGACCAUGUAGGGGUUCCCAUGGCAUUUGGUGUAACAUCUUGGAGGCUUUCCAUGGCAUCCUGGUAUAUUUGUAUGUUUAGCUCGCAUGAUAUUUCUUUGGUUAGCUAAGACCAUGUGGGGGUUCCCACGGAAAUUAGUGAAGACCAUGUGGAGGUUCCCAUGGCUGGUACAUAAGACCAUGUGGGGGUUCCCAUGGGAGUGGUUGUGACCACAAGGGGGUUCUAGUGGCACCUGGUGUAAGACCUUAGAGGGGUUCCAUGGCAUCCUUAUAUGUUUGUAUGCAUGGCAUAUGUGGUAUCUGUAGCUAAUACAUACUAAUAUGAUUUAUGUGAUUAUGUGGAUUGUGUGGGGUAUGCUCCGGGGAACUCACUAAGCAAUAGAUUACAGUUUGUUGGUUGUUUCAGGUACUUCAGGAUAUAAGUAGGGUUGUUCAGUAUUCGGAUAAAACCGAAUUAUCCAAUUGGACAAUUUGGAUUGGACUAUUUGGUUCGAAUAUUCGUAUUUUUGGAUUGGUUUUCAACAAAACCGAAUUAUUAUUGUGGAUUUCGGAUUGGUUUUGGUUUAUAAAAUAAUAACCGAAUAGUCCAAAAAAACUGAAUAAAUAUUUAUUAUUUAUGUAUUUAUAAUAUAUAUAUAUCUAUAGUUAUUUAUUAAUUUUGUAAUUUAUUUUUUCAAAUAGGUUUAAAACGUUUCACCCGAUAAAAAUAAACAUUAAUAUGCAUUUUCUACUCAAAAGUUUUCUAUCAAUAAAAUAUUUAACUAUAAUAUAUCUUCUUAUUAGUUGUUUAUAAUUUUCAAAUCGCAACUAAAUAAUUUUUUUGUUGUGUAAAGUUGGGUAAUAUUAUACUUAUACGUCGUUUUAAAAUGUUUCGGUUUUUGAAAACCGAAUUAUAAAACCGAUGCAACCGAAUUGUAAUUGGAUCGGAUCGGAUCGGAUUUGAAUUUAGUUUGAACUAUUCGGAUCCAUGUUUUAAAAAUCAAAAUCAAUUUGGAUUCACCUGAUUGGAGCGGAUCAAACCGAUCCAUCCAAAAAACACCCCUAGAUAAGGGCAAUGGCCUGGCUUGAUGGCGUCGCAUGCACUCUCUGGAGAUUUGUUUAGAUGAAUGAAUUACUGUUAGACAAAGCAAUUCAAUCCAAACUUGUUCAGCGCCUUCAUUCAUUAACAAUCUAUUUGUGUGAUUGUUCGGUAAGACCAUGAAUUUUUCACAAGAAGAGCGUUGAUGGUAUAGAAUGAGCUCAUUCCUUCUCUUUCUAUACGAACAAGAAUUUCUUAUUCAUCAAAUUGAUGUGGAGGAGUGAACUUGACAUAAUAUUUUCUGUGAGGGGAGAUGCGCAGAUUAAGUAAUUCGAUAUCACAUGUUGGGAUUUCAUACAAUCUUCCUUCAAUGUAUUAUGGAAAAAUGCUUGACAAAGGAUUAGGAUUAUCCUUUAACACUUAGAUUCAAAUACUCUCUUCAAUCGAUUAAUCGACUUGAUCUUGAGACCAACCAUCAGACUUUUUCAACGACUUCAUUGUGAUGAUUUGAGAUAAAGUGAUCCCUUAGCAUUUUUCUUUGAUCGGAUCUCUAGGAGUGAUUUGUAUCAGUUGUUGAACAACUGGAGUCAUAGGACCUACUGUUAUUAGCAUGACCAAGUUCAGAGUAGGCAAACCUUCAUCCCUCUCGAUUGUGGAAACUUUAUCAAUUCUGACAAUAUUUUGAAGAGGGAUCAGAGGCGACUCGUGUGGAGUUUCUCAGAAUUUGUCAAUGGAUAGUCAUUUUUUUAACCGUAGCACGAUCCUUGUUGUUUUUGAAAGAUUUGGCUAGGUUUGAUGGCCAGGAAGACCAAUUCUUUUUCUCUGAAUCAGAAAUGAGUUUUUCGAAAGAAGACGGAUCUCUCUCAAAUUGGAGUGCUAAAAGGGCUUCAUCAUUAACAAUCAUCUCAUUAUCAUCUUCUUUUUCAGAUGUUUCAUCUCAGAUUUAAAUUUUCAAGCUUCGUUUCAAUCCAUUUACAACUACUUCACCCCAUCUUGCAUCAGAAAGCCCUACUGAUACAUCCCAAAAAUCAAAGAAAUUUAAAUUUUUCAAAAACAACCCGUUAAGCAUAAAGUGUUUAAAAAAAUAACCAUUGUUUCAAAAGUAUAAUCAGAAUUAGAGUAGCCCAAGGUCCAAUGUGAUAAUAACAAAAAGAUGUGCAUGAUUAUUGCUUCGCUUUCCCACGAUCCUCUAAAGUACUUGAAACAAUAAACUGAAACCGUAAGUCAAAGCUUAGUGAGUUCUCCCAAAGUACCAUCAUACAACAUAACAAAAAAUAGCUUGCAAAUAUGAGUCUUCAGCCUGACUGACCGCCUCGCAGGGCCUACAACUUAUUUGUACCACUCUCCGGGCUUUCGGCAUGAUUGGACUGCCUCACAAGGCCUACAGCCUAUCUAAAUUGCCCCCGGAAACCUGGCCUUUAGCAUAAAGCAAUACCACCUCAAUCUAACCACAAUAUGUCGACAUAUGUAACAGAUAAUCGUAAACACAUAUCCAACAAAUACAGAUAAUCAUAUAGAUCUUCUAAUCAAUCAUAUAACUAGGAUAACACCAUCCUAUAAACUAUUAUGAGAGCGCCAUUCGCGUAUGUCACAACCCAGUGCAACAUUUCAAGACCAAAGACAUUGCACGGAGGUAUCACUUUAUCAAAGAUCACGUGGAAGAUGGAAAUGUCGAGAUUCACUUUGUUACAUCCUCUGAUCAGUUGGCAGACAUCUUUACAAAAGCCUUGCCUGAACAAACAUUUAAUCGCAUUCUUCAAGGCUUAGAAAUGAUUGAGGCCGAAUCAGUUCUGAACCACCUUCGUUGUCUUAAAGUUUUGGUUGAACUGCGAAUUGGUGUGAAUGUUCGCAAUGACUCGCAGUCCACACGUUCGCAGUGACUCACAGUCUACUUUCACACUACGAAUUUGUGCGAAUAUUUGUACUGACUUGCAGUCUACUAUUCGUUCAUGGUUUGGAACUUCAUGUAUCCUUUUUACAUUUUUUUAUUGAUACUUAUUUCAUUUUUCUGUUUUUAUUUCAUUUUCAGAAAAUUAAAAAUCAAAAAAUAUUUUAUUUCUUUCUGUUUUUAUUUCUUUUUAAGAAAAACAAAGAUACAAAAUUAUUUUCUUUAUCUUCAAUUUUUAUUUCUUUUCAUAAAAUAUUCAAAAAUACCAAAAAGAUUAGACAACUGAGCAGAAUUGAAGACACAUACCAUGAUGGUCUUAAUUAUGAAUGAUGAGGCAGGUGAAUUUUUCGAAUCUAUGCACUAGUUAAGUGUCCCUAGAAGCAUGUUGUUGCAUUUAGUCUGGAGCCUCUAAGACUCUACGUUGAAGCCUUCAUGAAUCGAUAACACCAAUCGUUUCUUCCCAAUUAGGUUGUUCAUUCACAUAAGUCAUGAGCUACCUUACUCUUCUGGUAUUGAGUUAAUAGUUGAUUGCUUGGUCACUUUCGCAUAGCAUAGGUACAAUUUUCAUUGGAACCAACUCCCACUACUUCUUCAUCACUUUCGCAUUCAUGAACGUAACCCUUGAGACUCUCAGAUAUUACCAGUGAGGUUUACGCUUACACAACAUCUGUUUUUUUGAUCUUAAAUUCGUUACAACCACGAAUUGAGUGGAAGCCAAAAUCCAACACAUAUUUAAUAAUUUACGGUGAACAAUAAACAUGUUCUAGAUUUUUGACCAAGGAAUUAACGAAUGUCCACCUUUGUGGUCUGUACCCUGAAAUCUCUUUUUAUUUUUUUGCGAACUUAAUGAAAUGUUCUAGUCCUAAGACGUUUCUUCACAAUAGAUCAAAAUUUUGUUUUUAUUGAGAUUUCUACACUUGUCCAUCCACUAAAAAUAAUUCCAAAGCAUACUUGUUCUUAUGGCUACACUGGUCAAACUAGUACUUCAUACGAAUGUUCAGACUUAUUUUGAGUUUCAGACUUAGUUGAGAAGAAGCUGUCACACCCCGCUAAAGCGGAAACACGAUGCGUGGCAGUACAAAGGGUUUCAUAGCAAAAGUUUAAAGACAACACCAACCAUAGUAUUAAAAACCAUUACAAAUUUACAACGGGUUUGAACAACUUUUAAAAGAAAUUACAAUGUAAAUUGAAAUGCAACACAUGCGAAUGCUCCUAAAAGUGAUGUGUCCCUAAGUGCCACCUACUUGAUGAUUCCUGAAAAAGCAUGUAAAACGAGCGUCAACUAUAAAAAUAGUUGGUGAGUACUCACAAGUUUAACAAAAUAAUAUUGGUUCAUGAGUUGAAAUCAAAGUUUUGAUAAAAGUUUCCAAUAAUAAAAGUAUAUUGUUAAAACGAGUAAAUAAGUUUGUAAACACAGUCCAUUGUCAUCAUGAGAAAUAAAGUAUGUUGCCAAAAGAGAUGCAACGUUCAUAUCCUCAUGGGAAAUAAAGUUUGAUACUAAAAUGAGUAAACAAGUUUCAUUGCUACAAGGAGCAAACAAGUUUGUUACUAUAAGAAUCAACCAAGUUUGUUGCUAAAACAAGUAAAUAAGCAUUUAGUAACAAAAGUUCAUUGUUAUAAUGAGAUACAGAGUCGAUUGCUAUAAUUGAUAAACGAGUUUAUUGCCAUAAUAAAUAACAAGUUUAUUGCCAUAAUGAGUAACGAGUUUCGUUGCUAAAAUAAGUAUUCAAGUGUCGUUGCUAACAUGGGAAUACAAGUUUCGUAUGUGCAUAAAGAAUAGUAUGUGCAUCAAGUUUCCAUUCAUGAGUUCACAACCCAAGCCUAAUGACCGAAUCGUGCCCUAUUGACUACUAUGUGAAUCGCAAACAUAGUGUAGAAAAUGGUAAAACACACUCAAGCAAAUCGUGCGAGUGAGGAGUUGUCUACCUCCUGAUAACGCUAUCCAUAAUAACCAUAGGCUCAAAAGAGUUAAUGAGUUGUGUCUAGAGAUUCCAGGGACUUAACCGCGAUACAGUCCUCAUGAAUUAAAGUAACAUACACAUACAUACGAAAUAUAGCAACCAAGUUUCAUACAAGUCAAAAUAAAUACAACGAACAUAAAAAUAGUUUAGGACAUGCAUUUCCACCCCAAAACAUUUAAAAAUCGAAAAUAGGGGAGUGCGUGAAUACUCACAAUAUGCAUUGAGAUGAUGCAAAUGAUGCCUUGAGCUAAGAUCCACUCGUACCACUAUCGAUUCCUACAAUAAUGGUAUUCGCUAGUGAGUCUCUAAUCGAAAUCUAACACUAGUAUACUUACUACUACAAUAGAAUUAUGCCAAUAAUGUGUCAAAAUUUAAUAUUGAUAAGUUACAAACAUUUUUCUAUGGAAAUUAAGUUUCAAAGAAUCAAUUGUUAUAUAACAAUUUAAGUGGAAAAUUUUCCAUUAUUGGAAUGUUAAUAUUUAACAUUUUAGAGGUGUUCCAAUGACUAAAUAUUCAAAAACCAAAUCAAUUUAGUUCUAAAAUUUCCCAAAGUUUUCAUUUCAGUUUUAAUUGAAGUCAAAGACCUUAAGAUAAAUUUUCUUGACUUUUUGAUUUGUCUAAUUAUUUUUCACCAUUUAAUUCCUUGAAUAAUCAUAAAAUCGUGGAAAAAUAGUAAAAAGUUAAUAAAAAUUACCAAACUUCAAAUUUUUGUUCUAAAUGUUUUAAAAGACUUCUAGAUAAAUUUUCAUGAAUUAUGGGUAUGUAUAACCAUUUUUCAUAUAUUUAAUUGUCUAAAUAGAUAAAAAUUCAUGAAAAAUACCAAUGAGUUAGGAAAAUUCCCCAAGCUUUUUAUAACACUGUCAUUACGCAUAUUUAAUCUGUGAAAAAUAUAAAAAUGGGUUUCUAAACUGUUUAACCGAUUUUUACGAUUUUUGUGCAUUUAUUAUAAUAAAAAUUGAAAUAAAUAGAAAAAAGUUUCCAAAAUUAUCCAAACUUUUUUAUUACUGUUACUAAACAUUAUUAAGCUGGGAAUAAUAUCAAAAAUCGAUUUCUAAGCUGUUUAACCUAAUUUUAUGAUUUUUGAGCAUUUUUUCUAAUAAAAAUUGAAAUAAAUAGAAAACAGUUUCCAAAAUUAUCCAAGCUUUUUAUUUAACUGUUAUUAUACAUAGCUAGGCUAGAAAAAUUAUAAAAGAUAUUUUUCAGUGGGUAUUUCUAUUUUUGCUUGUUUUAUCCCCUUAAAUAAUCAUUAAUUGAAGAAUAAAUAACAAACAGUUAAAAUAAAUAACCAAAAAUUUUUUUUAACAUCAUUUACAGUGUAAGUAAUCUGGGAAAAAUACCAAAAGUGGUUUUCAUCUUGUAUAAUCUGGUUUUGGGUAAUUAUGUGUAUUUAAGUGUAUUUAAGUGUAUUUCACCUUAGAAAAUAGGAGAAAAAUAGUAUACAAUAAAGAAAAAUCAUCAAAACUUUUAUGUAACCGUAUACUGUACAACCUGAUGUUCUGGUAAUAUUUCAUGAAUUUUGGAUAAUCAGAAAUAUUUUUCCUAUUUUAGGCCAUUAUAAUUACCAAAAAAUGGGAAAAAUAGGAAGGCAUGUUGAAAAAUUCUGAAAUUACUUUUCUGAGCCUCCCACCACAGUUAAGAGCUGCGAAAAUUGUUAGAUACAAUUUGCAUACUACCUAAAGCGGUUUUGUGAUUCAUUAUACCCAAACAAAAGAAAAUCGUAAAUUAUACUAAACAGCAUUAUAAAUCGAUGAAAUUUAGUGAGAGAUCAUUAUUCUCCAUAGGCGUCAUUCACGAAUUUAUUUUGGAUUUGUAGACCUCUGGAAAUAUUUUAUAUGAUUUAUUCCCUAUUUUAUUGAAUUAAUUAUAAUAAUUAGAGAAAAAUGAAUUAUCUUCUGGAAAUUUACAGAGCAUCUUCUUUUGUUGAUGAGAAUCUGGGAAAAAUCGGAUUUGGUCAGAAAAUGGUUUUUAGAUAUUUAUUUGGAAAUAAAUCUUUCAUUAAUAUAUUUGAAAGCUUUUUAACAACAAACUUUGAUCAUCAAGCAUCUAAGCUUGAAGAUCAUCACAUGCAUGUUGUUUUGAAGACCAUUCAUGAGUUUGAAUGUUCAAAAAUCGUUUUCGAUAGAAAAGUUUGGAUGCAUGUGGUGAUUUUCCACCAAAACGUGUAGAAAAGUGCAUUUUCAUGGUUUUGACUUAGGUUUGGGUCAUGGAUCUUCACCAUUUUGUAACUUGCAAGAUGCUUUUGGUGAAAAUCUACCUCCAUCAACAUCAAAACUGAAGUGAAUGGACAUUCACACAAAUUUUCUAAGAGAAUGGUGUAGAAGAACAAGAGUGCAAGAAAAACCUUUAAAACUAGAAAGAAAAGUGAAGGAGAUUGAAAGAUUUUCUUGAUUACCAUGGAGAAGAACCCUAGAAGAUGAAGAUUUGAACGUUAAGAGUUGUUCUUGGCUUGAGAAUUUCGUGGUUUUAGAGGGAAAGAGAGAGUUUAAGUGUGGUAAAUGUUGGAGUGUGAGAGAGAAUGAAGGGUAGAGUGAGAGAGAGAGAGAGAGAGAGAAGAUGGAGUGAUAGAGUGAAUUGAUUAUGUGUUGGGAAGAGGAGAGAGAGGAGAGAUCCGAAUUUUUAAUGAAGAGAGGGUCUCCCUCUUUUAAAUUUUAUAAAAUAUAACUUUAUUUUAUAAAAAUAUCAAGUUUUUAUAAAACAUGCACCUUAUUCUAAAUUUUCCUUCACAAAACCUUGAUUUUUGGCUUAGAAAAUAAGGUUAAAUACUAAUGACUUAAAUUUUUUUUCCUUGGUUAUAUUUUACUAAAUUGAGUUAUUUUAAAUUGAUAUUAUAUAGUCCAUACCAAAUUUAUGGAUUUUUAGGUGUGUAAAGUUUAUAAAUUUGAGUUUUUAGGGCAUUUAGUGUUUUUGAGAGUUUGUAAGUCUUUGGAUAUUAAAAUUAAUUAAUUUUUGAGACUUCAAACUAUUUUAGAGUUUUAUAACUCUUAUUCAAGUUAGAAAUAAUGUUUGUAAUAUAUUUUUUAUCGGUUUAUUGGCAUUCUAUGUAGUGAUUCCGAGAUUCAAGCGAAAUUGAGGAAUCAAGUAUACUAGUCCUACUCUUCAACUUUGACUUAAGUUUCUAUGAGACUCUGACCUAACUGUUACUUCUAGGUCAAGUACAUGAUAUGUGUAUAUGAUUCAUGAAAUGGUGUUCAAGUCAAAGAGUGACCCUAAUAGAGAUAGUCACUAAAGUUAAGUAGUAGUAGAAUUCACAUAUCAAUGUGAAAUCUAAGCACAUUAUCCAUUGUUUCCAAUUGUUUCCAAGUUUUUAGUAGGUUAUAACUUACCUUCUAGUUACUAAGUCUAAUAUGUGUUGUGCCUAUAUGUGCAACUAAGUCUAGUCAAAUCUAGAACCGACUCGAAUUUUGACGGUUGUCACAGUCUCCCCCGGUUGAAAGAAUUUCGUCCCGAAAUUGAAUUUGUGACGAAUUCUAUUAGAACUAAACCGGAUGCAAUUGUAUAAUUGGAGAGGUGGUGUCUUUGAGAACUCUUUGAUUAUUUUGGGUUAAUUCUCCAAGGGAAGAGCCCAGUUCUUUAUCUAUAAUCAAAGUAAUGUUUCCUUAACUCGAGUUCUAUAGUCUAGAAUGCAAGAAAUUAGGAUCAUGGAAAUCAUGAUCUGACCAUGGCGACCUAGUUGAAAAGAUUAUCUAGUUAGAUAUUAUCUGAAUUAAGAGAGCGAUAUAAGUUUUGCUGAAUCACCAACUGCACUGAGCGUUAAAUCCGCAUUGAUGCUUUAGUCACAUUCUAAAUCGGCACUAAGUGUAAAUUUAUCGCCUGUUAAAGAAAAGAUUAGGAACAAUUUGUUCACUUCCGGGUUGGCUAUUACAUUUGGAAAAGAUAUAUUCCGAAAUAAGAAGGGGUAGCACGAAUGAAAGGGAAGCGAUCGAGGGUAAGUUACUAAAAAUACGUACUAAGGGUAGGCAACGAAGUUUUGGUACAUCUCAAAUAUAAAGUCUAUUUUAAGUGUCGUCUAUAAGAUAAGUUAUGAAACGAUCGAGGAUUUCCGA
RNAcentral lists this long non-coding RNA (73798 nucleotides) under Lactuca sativa (garden lettuce). The record is from RNAcentral. Lineage: Eukaryota; Viridiplantae; Streptophyta; Magnoliopsida; Asterales; Asteraceae.